RNAcentral lists this long non-coding RNA (68149 nucleotides) under Solanum tuberosum (potato). RNAcentral describes it as "long non-coding RNA (STUB_LNC009675)". Lineage: Eukaryota; Viridiplantae; Streptophyta; Magnoliopsida; Solanales; Solanaceae. The record is from RNAcentral.
UCGUGCGUCAGAAAAAACCUCAACAAGCUCAUCUGCCCCUCCCAUGGUGGUGACUCCUGCCGGCCGACAAGUUAUCUUUAUUGCGGAAAUUUCAUCACCAACUUCUGUAAGUCAUACUUCAAGCUGAUCAUUUGAGAGUAUGCUUAUUAAUUUUCUGGUUGUCUAGAUUUGGCUAAAUAAAAAAACAAAUUACAUUUAUUCAUGAGUAAUUUAACACGUACUAUGUAUAUGAUAUUUUCCGACAGAUGGAACUAUGUUGAGGCAGAAAUGGCAAUAUCAAAUGAAUUGCAAGAGUUUUGUGUGCUUCAAUUCUCAAGCUGCAAACAAAAGAAAUGCACAAAGGACAACAAUGAUUUUGAAUGUCCAAAAUGCAAUCGGAAAACAACAUUAGUGUCUCGGUACUAUACUUUUGAGUUAUAAAUUAGAGUUUGUGCAAAAUAUAGCAUAUAUUAUACACAAAUAUUAAACUUGCCAUGAUUUCAGGUGUAUCUUUCAAAUUGAUCUUAUUGAUGGUACUGCUACAACCACAACAUCUAUCUCUGGUGAAUUGGGUGAAAAACUACUCUUCAUGACAACAGAAGACAUAUUUGACAUAACUUGUGCUAAGGCGAUCUCUCAUUCCCGCUAGCACCUCUACACAUCUAUUGUCGAACAAACUACUUCUAUGCUUAUUCCUAAAGAGUUUCUCGUGACUCUUUACAGGGAUAAAAUGAGGCAGGAGCUCGUAGUGCUGAAGAAUCGGAUGGAUGAUUUAGAAGCACAUGUGAACAGUCAACUACAGGCUGUUCACAUGUCAACUACAGUCUGAAGAAGAAGAUAGUGAGUCUGGGACAAUCAGGAGUCUGAUGAUGAGUCCCGAGCAUCUACAGAUUCACCUCAACCAUAAGAGGGUGAGGGUGAGGUGGAGGAAAAUGAGGUCCGGGAGGAUGAUGCUGAUUGUAUAUCAGGGGUAUUAAUGGUGUAAUAUGUUCACCAGUAAAAGUUAGACCUACUAGUAUGGCAACAGACUACUGAGUUCUUUUACCAGAUGUGGAUCGUGCCUCGAUUAGAGGGGUUCUUCUAGGAUGGUAUAUUAUUUAAGGCAGGUGGUUUUGCAGGGCUACCUAUUAUCCUCGAGUCCAAAGUAGUAGAGGCAGAUAUUCAAGCAUUCCCAGGAAUUCACAGGCUUUUCAAAUCUCACCAGUUUGAAUGGAUGAACAACAUGCUAGGUGAGUAUGCACGCCACCUAACUAGAGAGGCUUACGCCUCAUAUGCAACGAACCUGAUGAAUUUUCUGCCGACACUGAACAAAAAAAGAAAAGGCAGAAAGAUGGUGCAGCUACAUAGGGAACCCUAGAAGUUGUGAGUGUGCAGGGGCAAUCCAUUGAUAUAUCUGAAACCAAAGUAAAUAGGAUGCUACAUGGCCCAGAGUAUAGAACACAUGUGUCAGUGGGGUUAUUUGAAGGUCGGCACCAGACAGUGACUAGUGAGACCGAGAUGGAUAAUCCUAGCUCGCGGGAAUGUUUCAUGCGAUGGAUUUUUGGCCAGAUUGCGAUAGAGGGAGAGACUGCAUCAUGGGUAGCCAAUGCAGAGGUGCAAAUUACGAAGGCAUCCCUUUUAUUUCCUUCCAAGGUCUGGUGGGCAUUUUUCCGUGCACAGUUGCUAGCCACUGCUAAUGAUAACACUUUAUCACCGUCAUUUGCCUCCUUGGUAGCCUGCCUCAUUGUUGUUUACCCAUUGAAUGUGGUUCGGAUAAUUGCCACAAUAAUGCGAGACAAAACACUGAAUGAGAGAGAAGGUUUGUCGUUUCCCUGUAUAAUAGGGAAACUCUAUUUGCAGGCAAAUAUGCCACCACAUAAAUUAGUGGACAAAUGGAUAGAAGCCUCCAAGGUUACCGUAACAUCAAAUAUAAAAUAUUUUUCGAACCAUCUAGGCCAAACCAAUAGGACCAGUGGUAGUUGUUCCACAUGUUCCAAUUUGAGAUACCGAGAACUGAGGGAGGAAGUGAGCUUGGUGAUUCUUCACAGCCAGCUGUAGGAACACCACCACCACCAGCCUCAUCUUCACAGGCUACAGGUACCUUCGUGUCUAUACCCACUUUAAUUUUGGAGCGGUUGGUUGCAGAUUAGAGUCCGACUCGGUCCAUAGUCGACCAAAUAGUGCUCAAACUACCUCAGGUAGUUUAGAGAGAUUUGUUGGUUGCACAAAAGCCAUUGAGGGAUAAAAUGAGGCAGGAGCUCGUAGUGCUGAAGAAUCGGAUGGAUGAUUUAGAAGCACAUGUGAACAGUCAACUACAGGCUUUUCACAUGUCAACUACAGUCUGAAGAAGAAGAUAGUGAGUCUGGGACAGUCAGGAGUCUGAUGAUGAGUCCCGAGCAUCUACGGAUUCACCUCAACCAUAAGAGGGUGAGGGGGAGGAAAAUGAGGUCCGGCAGGAUGAUGUUGAUUGUAUAUCAGGGGUAUCGAUGGUGAAAUGUGUUCACCAGUAAAAAUUAGACCUACUAGUGUGGCAACAGACUACUGAGUUCUUUUACCAGAUGUGGACCGUGCCUCGAUUAGAGGGGUUCUUCUAGGAUGGUAUAUUAUUUAAGGCAGGUGGUUUUGCAGGACGACCUAUUAUCCUCGAGUCCAAAGUAGUAGAGGCAGAUAUUCAAGCAUUCCCGGAAAUUCACAGUCUUUUCAAAUCUCACCAGUUUGAAUGGAUGAACAACAUGCUAGGUGAGUAUGCACGCCACCUAACUAGAGAGGCUUACGCCUCAUAUGCAACGAACCUGAUGAAUUUUGCUGCCGACACUUAACAAAAAAAGAAAAGGCAGAAAGAUGGUGCAGCUACAUAGGGAACCCUAGCAGUUGUGAGUGUGCAGGGGCAAUCCAUUGAUAUAUCUGAAACCAGAGUAAAUAGGAUGCUACAUGGCCCAGAGUAUAGAACACAUGUGUCAGUGGGGUUAUUUGAAGUUCGGCACCAGACAGUGACUAGUGAGACCGAGAUGGAUGAUCCUAGCUCGCGGGAAUUUGUCAUGCGAUGGAUUUUUGGCCAGAUUGCGAUAGAGGGAGAGACUGCAUCAUGGGUAGCCAAUGCAGAGGUGCAAAUUACGAAGGCAUCACUUUUAUUUCCUUCCAAGGUCUGGUGGGCAUUUUUCCGUGCACAGUUGCUGGCCACUGCUAAUGAUAACACUCUAUCACCGUCAUUUGCCUCCUUGGUAGCCUGCCUCAUUGUUGUUUACCUAUUGAAUGUGGUUCGGAUAAUUGCCACAAAAAUGCGAGACAAAACACUGAAUGAGAGAGAAGGUUUGUCGUUUCCCUGUCUAAUAGGGAAACUCUAUUUGCAGGCAAAUAUGCCACCACAUAAAUUAGUGGACAAAUGGAUAGAAGCCUCCAAGGUUACCAUAACAUCAAAUAUAAAAUAUUUUUCGAACCAUCUAGGCCAAACUAGUAGGACCAGUGGUAGUAGUUCCACAUGUUCCAAUUUGAGAUACCGAGAGCUGAGGGAGGUAGUGAGCAUGGUGAAUUUUCACAGCCAGCUGUAGGAACAGCACCACCACCAGCCUUAUCUUCACAGGCUACAUGUACCUUCGUGUCUAAACCAACUUUAAUUUUGGAGCGGUUGGUUGCAGAGUAGAGUCAGACUCGGUCCAUAGUUUACCAAAUAGUGCUCAAACUACCUCAGGUUGUUUAGAGAGAUGUGUUGGUUGCACAAAAGCCAUUGAGGGAUAAAAUGAGGCAGGAGCUCGUAGUGCUGAAGAAUCGGAUGGAUGAUUUAGAAGCACAUGUGAACAGUCAACUACAGGCUGUUCACAUGUCAACUACAGUCUGAAGAAGAAGAUAGUGAGUCUGGGACAGUCAGGAGUCUGAUGAUGAGUCCCGAGCAUCUACGGAUUCACCAUAACCAUAAGAGGGUGAGGGGGAGGAAAAUGAGGUCCGGGAGGAUGAUGCUGAUUGUAUAUCAGGGGUAUCGAUGGUGUAAUAUGUUCACCAGUAAAAAUUAGACCUACUAGUGUGGCAACAGACUACUGAGUUCUUUUACCAGAUGUGGACCGUGCCUCGAUUAGAGGGGUUCUUCUAGGAUGGUAUAUUAUUUAAGGCAGGUGGUUUUACAGGGCGACCUAUUAUCCUCGAGUCCAAAGUAGUAGAGGCAGAUAUUCAAGCAUUCCCGGAAAUUCACAGGCUUUUUAAAUCUCACCAGUUUGAAUGGAUGAAUAACAUGCUAGGUGAGUAUGCAUGCCACCUAACUAGAGAGGCUUAUGCCUCAUAUGCAACGAACCUGAUGAAUUUUGCUGCCGACACUGAACAAAAAAAGAAAAGGCAGAAAGAUGGUGCAGCUACAUAGGGAACCCUAGAAGUUUUGAGUGUGCAGGGGCAAUCCAUUGAUAUAUCUGAAACCAGUGUAAAUAGGAUGCUACAUGGCCUAGAGUAUAGAACACAUGUGUCAGUUGGGUUAUUUGAAGGUCGGCACCAGACAGUGACUAGUGAGACCGAGAUGGAUGAUCCUAGCUCGCGGGAAUGUUUCAUGCGAUGGAUUUUUGGCCAAAUUGCGAUAGAGGGAGAGACUGCAUCAUGGGUAGCCAAUGCAGAGGUGCAAAUUACGAAGGCAUCACUUUUAUUUCCUUCCAAGGUCUGGUGGGUAGUUUUCCGUGCACAGUUGCUUGCCACCGCUAAUGAUAACACUCUAUCACCGUCACUUGCCUCCUUGGUAGCCUGUCUCAUUGUUGGUUACCCAUUGAAUGUGGUUCGGAUAAUCGCCACAAAAAUGUGAGACAAAGCACUGAAUGAGAGAGAAGGUUUGUCGUUUCCGUGUCUAAUAGGGAAACUCUAUUUGCAGGCAAAUAUGCCACCACAUAAAUUAGUGGACAAAUGGAUAGAAGCCUCCAAGGUUACCGCAACAUCAAAUAUAAAAUAUUCUUCGAACCAUCUAGGCCAAACCAGUAGGACCAGUGGCAGUAGUUUCACAUGUUCCAAUUUGAGAUACCGAGAGCUGAGGGAGGUAGUGAGCAUGGUGAAUCUUCAUAGCCAGCUACAGGAACACCACCGGCACCACCCUCAUCUUCACAGGUUACAGGUACCUUCGUGUCUAUACCCACUUUAAUUUUGGAGCGGUUGGUUGCAGAGUAGAGUCAGACUCGGUCCAUAGUCGACCAAAUAGUGCUCAAAUUAUGUCUUGUAGUUUAGAGAUAUGUGUUGGUUGCACAAAAGCGACUGAGGUAUAAAAUGAGGCAGGAGCUCGUAGUGCUGAAGAACUGGAUGGAUGAUUUAGACGCACAUGUGAACAGUCAACUAAAGGUUGUGGGUUCUAUAGAUAUUUUAAUGUUGAAGGAACAAAUGGCUGAGAUGAGAGCCGACAUUGAUAAAUUGCCUAAGAAGCCAGCCACUGUUUCCCCUCUAGUUGUGCAAGACUCUUUGAUGAGAUUAUUUAGUAUGUCCCCCACAACUCAAUUAGUUGAUAAUCUUUGGGGUUACUUGGUGUCACGACCCAGGGGUACCCCUAGAUAUAACAUGGCAUACAAGACCCUGAGAGGCCUCAUAUAAGCCAUUUAGCUUUCAUAACAUAAGAUAAUAUAAAUGAGCGGAAAUUUAAAACUGUUUCAACAAUAUCAAAGUCUUUUAUAAACGAAGCGGAAGUCUAAUACACUGUAACACUCCAGAAACUAAUAAGCUUAACUAGAGUUAGAUGUAAAGGUUAGAGUCGUAAAAUUCACUUCUCGAACUUAGAAUGAAGGGUUUAGGGGUUAAACGUCAACGUACGAACCCAGAGGACCAACUAAGGGUCCUUGAGGAGGACCCAAAAACCACCCUAAAAUCUGCCCAAAACAAUGACCGAUGGAGGGACCUACACCCCGUAUGGUGGUCCACGCUCUGUGGGAGGAGGUUCAUGGGUCAAAGGGGGUAACACCCCGAAAACUAGCAAGUUGAACUAGUGAGUUCUAGAGCCUUUCGUAAGAGUUUUGGAGUGUUGUAUGAGGAUUACAAUUCGUAAAAGCGAUUCCCGUACAUAGAAUGAGGGUUUUAGGGGUUAAACGUCCGGGUACGACCCCCAAGGACCACCCAAGGGGUCCUUGAGGAUGACCUCAAAACAGCCCAAAAAGCUGUCAAAGAAAUGUCACCUACGUUUGGCCACCUACUGGCCGUAGGUGGACCCACACACCAUAGGUGGGGGUCAUGGGUCAAGGACUGUUAAGGCCUGCAAGAUGAACCCCUAAAAUCCACCUACGAGUUAACAGCACGGGCAGUAGACCCAUCCGCGGUCUGUGGAUGGGUGGGCGUCGGUCAACAUAGUUUUUGGACUUUUAGUUUUAAGUUAAUGGUUUAGGGGUUAAGUUAGUAAUUAGUUAAGGCAUAGGGAGGUCGGUUGAUUAGUUAAAUAACCACUUAUAAAUACCUAAUAAGACCCUAAACUAAUUCAUUUGACUCAUUCAUCUAAGACCCCAAAAUACUAUCCAAAAAUCCUCUCUCUAGAAGUGAAGAAGAAGAAGAAGAGAAUGCAAGAGGGAAAAAACUAGGAUCGAAAUUUACCAUUGAAGAAAGGUUUUUUUAAGACUUUGAGUUGAGGUAUCUUUAUAUUAUUCAUGUAUGGGUUCUUCCACCCAUAGAACCCCCAUAGUUUCCCCCAAUUGUGAAGUCAAAAAUCCAAUUCUAGUUAGGGUUGUGCUUGUGGGUAGGUUUGGGUAUGAUUCCAAUCUAGUGGAUAAUACCUAAUUAUGAUUGUAUUAGCAUGUAAUUGUGAUAUUAUGAUGAAUUCAUGUGAUUUAUAUGGUAAAACCUAACCUAAAUUGUUGAAUGUGAUAAUUGUGGGUUUAUGCCAUUAGAGGCAAAAUUGAAGGUUCAAAGGUGAUCUUCCUAAAUCAAAAUCAUGUAUAGUAAUUGAUCAAAGAUAGGAUCAUAUAAUCAUGAAUUGAACUAUACUUUAUUGAAUAUGAAGAAUCUUGACUUGUAAAGAUGAUAUUGAACAUCUAUGAUGAAUUAUGACUAGAAUCACUUAGUAGUAAAGAAUGUGAUUGAAUAGCUUGUUAUUUAGACAUGAAUGAAGUUAAGCUUGAAAGUAGGGCUUGUAGCCAUCAAGGUUAGUGCUUUGGGGGUAAAGCCAAUAUUAUGUGAUUGUGUUGUGUAUGCUUCUCUCUUACACACUUAGGCAUGAAUUUUCUAGGCGAUCCAAAGGUUCCCCCACAUAGACGGAUUCUAAGUUAUCUUAAUAACCUAAAAUGGAUCAAAGCAUGUUAUACUAGAAUAGCUUGAAGUUGUGAUGUAUGAUCCCUUCAUGUAUAGCUUGGCUUAGUAGUAUAACACUAAGGUUGUUAACUUAGGAUGGAGGAUAUAUACUCUCCUAAGGUAUAGCUUGACUUGGCAUUGUAUAAUGCAUUACAUGGUAGCAUGAGUUAGGAGUAGUCAUGGUAGCCUAGGAUUAAGGAUUUAUACUCUCCUAUGGGUAGCUUGAACUAGCAUUGUUAGGAUGCCUUCAUGGUAGCAUGACUUAGUUUCGCUAAGACCAUUUCAUGGUAGCUUUAGGAUUGAGGACUUAUACUCUCCUAUGGGUAGCUUGACUUUUCAUUGUAAGAUGCAUUUCAAGGUUAGCUUGAGUUAGGUUAGUCAUGGUAGUUUGGGAUUGAGGACUCAUACUCUCCUAAGGAUAGCUUAGGAUUGAGAAUCAUACUCUCCUAAGGAUAGCUUGCAUUUGCAUCAUAAUAUACUUGUAAGGGUAGCAUGACUUAGUUUGUCUAGGACUAUUUCAUUGUAGCUAGGAUAGGACACUUGUACCUUUCGUAAAAUAGCUUGGACUUCCAUGAUAGUGUGUCUUCCAAGGUAGUUAGCUUAGUUCAACCUAGUUAUGUUAGUAAUAUGAUAGCAUGGUCUAGCCUAUUAGGGGGUUAUUCCUUGGUAGCCUUGAAUAGAGGGAAAUAGAAUAGAGGGACUACUCCCCAACUAAUGAACAUUCAUGGUAGUCUAAAGGAGUACUUAUUGUGGGUAGUAGUAUGGGAUGCUAUCCAUACAUUGCACAAGUAUGAAUUAAGGCUAGGUAUGAAGGGUUCCCACACAUAGUAAGACUUAGCUUGGGUUGUUUCUAUAGUUUCCUUCAAAGAUAUGAUUGAAUAAAGAUGAUAGUUCCUUUGUCUAUAUGUAGUAAGCCAAUAGUAAGACCAAAGGAGGGUGAAUAUGACUAGGAUGACUUCAAGAUUAUACUUAGUGUGAAUGGUAGUAUUGGAUGCCUUUCAUGCAUCGCACAAGUGUGCUUUGAGGUCACUUAGGAGUAUGGCACCCUUAUAGUAUAAAGGUUUAAGACUUAACCAUGCCUACAGACUAUGAUUAAGAUCCCUAAAAAGGAAUACUUGGCUUGGGUGGUAUUAUGGGAUGCUAUUCUUGCUUUGCACAUGUAUACUUUUGAGGUUACUUCAGAAUGGUGUUAUUAUGGUAAAGAUGACCAAGAGUCAAUUAUGCUUAUUGUGAUUAUGACUUAUCUCCUAUGUUCAUUAACAAUGUCUUAUGUGGACUUAUGUUUAUAUGAUGCUUAUGUUGGAGACCACGCUAUGACUAUGAUGAUUAUGCUAUGAACAUGUUAUUAUCUCUUAUGCUUAUGUCUUAUGUUGACUAACCAUUUCGAUAUACUCUUAUGAAGUUGUGAUAGAUUUCAUACUUGGUACAUUUUGUACUAACGCAUAUUGCCUACAUUCUAAUUUAAUGUAGAGUUUCAUCGACUAAGUUGACUUGGAGGCUAGGUUUCUAAGGUGCAAGAAGAGUUGAAGAAUUGGUGAGUCCUCAUAGCUUCAACGACAAACCCAUCUAUCCUUUAUGUCAUUUAUUUAUGUUUUAGACUUUGUAUGGGCUGCUGCAUCCUAAGAGUCUCAUUCAAGAAUUAUGUUAGAUGGUUUGAGACAAAGGAUUAGUAAAGACUUCCACUUAUGAAAUAUGACUUCGAUUGUAAAAGUUUUAAAUUUUCCCGUAGUUUUUUUCUAUUACCUAUGUUAUGAUGCUAAGGGCUUGUAUGAGACCCCUUCGGGGUCAAGUACGCCAUGCUACGUCUAGGGUGUACCCCUGGGUCGUAACAAACUUGGUAAUAACAUCACAAGGUUUAGAAUGGUCCUAGGAUUGUCUCAAACCACGUCUAGUAGAGUCUUGUUCAUAAAUGUGAAGCGCGUCACUUUUAUGAAUAUGAGGCUAUUGGAUGCUUAGGAAAUCUUACUUCUUCAUUCUCUUAGUCAUGCCAAAGAAGUUUAUCUCUAGUAGGUCCUUCUCCUAAUGUUUUCCCUAUUGGUUUUUUCAGGUUAUGAAAAAUACUAGGGCUAAUGCUAGGAGGGAUGAGGAAGACAGUGGAGAGCAAGAGGUUCCUCUCCAAGUUCCACCCCAAGCUCCACCCCAAGCUCCUCCUCAAGCUCCAAAUGACCCUCCAAUUCAGAAUGCCACUCUAGCAGAAUUUAGGGUUCUAUGCUAUUCUUGGUGUAAUGACCCAUAAAAUGAAUAGGUGAAACUAGAGCCUAACGACUUUGUGUUUGAGUUGUUGUGAGGUUUGAGGGUGUAAAAUGUUGUCCCGAGAUAUGGUUGAGGGGUUAAGGGGUUAAACGUCAAGGUACGACUCCCCAAGGACCACCCUAGGGAUCCUUGAGGAGGACCCUAAAAUCUAACCCCCAAGACCCAAAAGAAACAAAACCUACCCAAAAUUGUUAUGACCUACGGAAAGCGACCUACGCCCCGUAGGUCCAUCCACGCCCCAUGGAUGGCCUCCGUAGGUCAAUUACCCAAAAUGUGAGUUGCAGCCAUGGACCACGAGAUGACAGCACGGUCCGUAGACCCACCCAUGGUCCGUAGGUGGCGUCUCGUGAGUGACCACUGUGUUGCUGUCCAAAGUCGGCCUAGUGGUGGGGUAGUUUAGUAAAUUCAUUUUAAGUGUAGUUUAGUUGGGGGAAGGUUUUAAUUGGUUAUUUAAAGUAUUUUAAGGGUUUUUAAAGUAUUAAACUUUAUUCUUUACUCAUUAUUUCAAAACACCCGAAAGAUAGAAACCUCCCCUCCAAAAGUUCUCUCUCUAGAAACCUCCAUUGGAGGUGAAGGAUUCAAGCUUCCAAGGUCAAGACUUCACGUUUUUCAAGGGAUUUUCGUGGAGUUAUUCCAUAGAAGGUAUGGUAGUCUUCAUCCUUGAAUUAGUUUCUUUCAAGGAACCAAUUUCAAAGUUGAUUUCAAGUCUCCAAUGUUUCCCCAAAAACCCUACUUUUCAAUCUUGGCGUGGGUUCGAUUCUAAACGAUUUUCAAAGGCUUUAUUACAUUGAAGUAUGACUGAAUUGUGGAUUUAAAGAUGAAAAUACGAUGAUUUCUUCCUUGAACCCAUGAUUUCCCCCAAAUUCUUAAGUUGUGAAUUAAGAUUGGGAAUUGGUUGAUCAUACAAUAUGUUGAAUUGUUGAUGUUCAUGUUGAAUUAGUUAUUAAACCAUGUCAAUUUACUUAUCUAUUGUAGUAUCUUGGAUAUAUUGGUUGAUGUUGGUUCUUAGCCUUGGAAGGCAAUUUUAUGAGGGAUCUAUGUAUGAUUAUGAUGUGAAGUAUAUGUGUGUGAUCUCAAUGAAUGCAUUAUGAUCAUGUUUAGAUUGGAAUAGUGUUAGUAUUGCAAGCUUAUGAAUGAUGAUGAUAUAUGUGAAAGGUUAUUCUAACAUACACACACACUUGAAUGAAGAAUGAAUUGCAUUUUCUAUGAUUAUGUUAAUGAGGAUGGGCUGAUUGAAAGGCUAUUUUCAAUUGUACUCUAAUGAAUGAUAAUGAGAUGUUGUGAAAGGACUUUCUCACAAUAUGGGGAUUCUUAGGUGAAAGGCUAUUCUCAUCCUUGAAUCUAUGAGCUAUCUAUUGAAUGAAUGUUAGGUUUGGGAUGUAUACUCAUCCAUGAUAUAAGGCGGAGUAUCUAGUAACAAUCUCUUAUCCCAUAAUAAUGAACUAAUGUAAUGAAUGUUAAAUAUUCCGUGGGGAAUAAUGCUAAGCACCGAGAGGAUAUGGCUUGAGAUGGGUGCUCAUCUGUGAGUUAAGGCGGGGUAUCUAAUAGCAAUCUCUUGAGAUGGGUGCUCAUCCGUGAGUUGAGGUGGGGUAUCUAGUAGCAAUCUCCCUUUCCCUUAAACUAUGUGCCCACAUAGGUCUAGCUAGUGGAUCCACCAAAGCUAAAAACAAUGGUCCUACCUUAGGCAAGUAGGAAUCCCUUAUCUGGUGAGGGUGACACCGGGAUUCCAUGAAAUUCUCACAUGGUCUAUGUAGGUUAAAGCUUAUCCCCAAAAAGAAUGUUAAUGAACUAUGGCUUCUCAAGAAUGCACUACUUAGUGUGGGUAGUAUGGGAUGCCAUCCAUGCAUUGCACAAGUAGGCUUUUGAGAGGGGUUGUGGUGUGUUCCUUUAUAAUGUUAAGUGUAAUGAAUGUGCUCUUAUGAUGAUUUUAAUGAGAUUGUUGUCUUAAUGUGUAAUGAAUGAAGGUGUUCUUAAUGAAGCUAAAGAAGAUUGUUGAUUUAUGAAUUUAAUGUAAUGAUGCAUGCUAUACUUGGAUUGUAUUAUGAGUUAGUUCCUUGUCAUGACUUAAUGAAUAUGAAUGUGCCUUGUCUACCCUGGAUUCAAAGGACUACUAAGUGUGAGUAGUAGUAUGGGAUGCUACUCAUACAUUGCACAAGUAUGACUUAGAGUUGCCCCUAGGUGAUGGUCCUAAUGUGUUGAUAUGACUUAUGGAAUAUUUAUGUCUCUUAUGUAUGAGUAUUUUGUAAUGAUGGAAAGGAUGAAUGGUAAGUUCACUUUUGGUGGCCUUAAGUAGUAUCUAGUAUGGAUGGUGGUAUGGGACGCUAUUCAUACAUUGCACAAGGUAUGGCUUGGGGUUACUUGAGAUGAAAGCUUAAGGUAAUGAAAUGUCUUAUACGUUGAUUAUGUUCUAUUGUGGUUAAAUGACUUGUAUGUUGGUUUUGUGUGUAUAUUAUGCCUCUUAUACUUAUAUUCAUGGAGUUUUUUUAAAAUGACAUAUAUCAUGAAUUUCAAAUAAAAUGUCCGUUUUAAGUAUGGUUUUUGCAUGGCUGUCAUAAUUAGUACUUAAUUGUGCUAAUCCAUAUUUUCUUUACCUUUAUGAAGUGUAGGGAUUGGUACUUGGUUUGUCUCUCUCUAGUUCAAGGGCUUGGAUCGAGAUUCCUCCAUGGCUAAGUGGUAUGUCCUCAUAGAUCGAGGACAAGUGUUUAGAUGUUUCUUUUCUUUCAUGUAAUAGACAAUUAUUAGUCUUUCGAUGGUAAAGGGUCGUGUCCCUAGUUUAGUUUUCAAGAUGUUGUUUUAGAUUGCCAUGUGAGACAAUAGACUUCCGCUACUUUUGAAUGUUUUAAAUGAGUAUUUUGAUUGUAUGGUUUUAAAAAAAGUUUUAAUUCCGUACCAUUUUCCUUAUAUCGAAUGUUAUGAAUGCUAUGAGGCUUGUAUGAAACUUUUUGGAAUCUUGUAUGCCUUGUCACUUUCGGGGUAUAGACUCGAGUCGUGACAAACAUGGUAUCAGAGCAUAAGGUUAUGGGAAUGUUUUUUAGGAUUGAUGUCCCACAAGCCACACCUAGUAGAGUCUUGUUCUUCGGUGUGAGUCGUGACACAUCUAUGAGCGAGAGGCUAUAGGACGGUAGGAAGUUACAUUUCUUUCAUUACUCUUGAAGUUGUGCCUUAGAGUUUAGCUCUUUAAGUAUCCUUUUUCCUAAUCCUUCUCUUGUGUUUAUAGGAUAUGAAUACAAGAAGGACGCCCGCAAGAAGAGUGGAAGAGGAGAUUGUGAAUGAAGGAGUUCCUCCCCAAGGUCCUCAUGGCAAUCAAGUUCAGGUUGAUGCUCCAGCCAUGACCAAUGAAGAGAUUAGGUCGGCUUUUCUAACCUUAGCCCAAGCCAUGACGGCCCAAGUUAAUAGAGGUGUGGGGCCUAGAGUGAAUUCUAUUGAGAGUACUAUGGCUUCUAGGUUAAGGGAUUUUUCUAGGAUGAAUCCCCCUCCCCCCCCCCCCCCGAGUUUCCAGGUUCCAAAGUGGAAGAAGAUCCUUAAAGGUUUGUUGAUGAGGUUUGAAAAAUACUUAGUGCCAUGGAGGUGUCUUCGGAGAAGAAGGCAAAAUUAUCUGCCUAUCAAUUAAAAGAUGUAGCUCAAAUUUGGUAUGAGCAAUGGAAGGGUGAGAGGCCAACAGGAGCAGGUCACAUAAAUUGGGAGGUGUUCAAAGAAGCUUUCCUUGAUAGGUUUUUCCCCCUAGAAUUGAGGGAACAAAAGUUGGUAGAAUUCAUGAACCUUUGUCUAGGGGGUAUGAGUGUGAAGGAGUAUUCUCUUAAGUUCACCCAACUAUAUAUCCAAAUAUGCUCCAACCUUAGGGGCAAAUUCGAGGGCUAGAAUGAAUAAGUUUGUGAUGGGGGUGUCCGGUUUGGUUGAAGAAGAAUGUCGUACGACAAUUCUCCAUCAUGACAUGGAUAUUUCAAGGCUCAUGGUAUAUACUCAACAAAUUGAGGAGAUGAAACUUAAGAAAAUGAAUUAGGAGGCAAAAAGAUUUAGGCCCGAUGAACGAAGUCAACCAAGGUUCAAAAAGAGGUUCUACAACCAAGAUUCCCCUAUGGUCAACUAUGAUAGGGUGUCUAACCCUAAAUCUCAAGGAGAGAAUGGAAGUGGUUCUUCUGUUGAAAGAUCAAUUUGUGCCAAGUGUGGGAAGCAACAUUUAGGUAAGUGCCUUGCUGGCACGGAUGGGUGCUUUGGGUGUGGAAAGAAGGGUCAUAAGAUGAGAUAUUUCCCAACACUCACGGCAAAAGAAAGAGAGACCAAACAAGCCUCUCUUGAUGGCCCAAAUCCUAAUGCUCCAUUUCUAGGUGCUUCAAGUUAACAAGGACAAAGGAGUUAAUCCGGAUAAAGGCACCGGUAAGUGAUAGUUCCUUAUAGAUUGUGAAUGUUACAUUGAGGUUCCUAUGUUGUGUUCAUGUUAACCUUAGUUGGUUUUACUCCUAAGUGGGGGAUAGUAUGUUGAAUAGUAAGGUUGUGGAGAGUUUUGAUAUCCUUGUCUCUUUCCUUCUAUUCCUAUUCAAGCUUGAGACCAAGAGUUCCUUGUAGCUUGUUUCAUGAUUUGGAGUCAUGUGUGAAUAUGUGUUUCCAUGGUCUCCUUAUGUUAUGCAUAUUCUUAAUGAGUUUAUGUUUAAAUGAGAAAAUGUGUUUUUAUGAAUUAUGUUCCUCAUGUUGAUAUCCAUUUAGUAUGAGUUGUCUAUAUGCUUCAUGAGGUUAAUUGUUGAACAUGCCUAAAUAUGCUUUUAUGAAGAAAUUGUAUAAUGUGCUUAAUUAUGUUAUGGUGAGCAUGAUUUGAGUUGGAGAAGUUAAUUCCUCCAAUGAAAUGAGAAAUGUUGAAGUUAUGAUGCAUAAUGAGUUUGUAGAUGUAGUUCCUACUUUCUUGUGUUGCAUUGAGCUUAUUGAUGUGGAGUUGAGAUUUCUCCUAGUUUUGUGCAUUAUUUACGAUGUUGCAUGCAUGAUGAGCUGCUAAUCUCGAGUCGUUAACCUCUUAAUGUGUUUAAAGUGUCAUUCAAGGACGAAUGUUCCCAAGUGGGGGAUAAUGUAACGACCCGUAAAAUGAAUAGGUGAAACUAGAGCCUAACAACUUUGUGUUUGAGUUGUUGUGAUAUUUGACGGUGUAAAAUGUUGUCCCAAGCUAUGGUUGAGGGGUUUAAGGGUUAAACGUCAAUGUACGACUCCCCAAGGACCACCCUAAGGGUCCUUGAGGAGGACCCUAAAGCCUAACCCUCAAGAAACCAAAACUACCCAAAAUUGUUAUGACCUACGGAAGGGGACCUACAGCCCGUAGGUCCAUCCAUACCCCGUGGAUGGCCUCCAUAGGUCAAGCCACCAAAAUGUGAGUUGUAGUCAUGGACCACGAGAUGACAGCACAGUCCGUGGGUGGGGUCUCGUUAGUGACCACUAUGUUGUUGUCCAAAGUCGGCCAAGUGGUGGGGUAGUUUAGUAAAUUCAUUUUAAGUGUAGUUUGGGGGACGGUGUCAAUUGGUUAUUUAAAGUAUUUUAAGGUUUUUUAAAGUAUUAAACUCUAUUUUCAACUCAUUAUUUCAAAACACUACAAAGAAAGAAACCUCCCCUCUAAAAGUUCUCUCUCUAGAAACAUCCAUUGGAGGUGAAGGAUUCAAACUUCCAAGGUCAAGACUUCAAGUUUUUCAAGGGAUUUUCAUGGAGUUCUUCCAUACAAGGUAUGGUAGUCUUCAUCCUUGAAUUAUUUUCUUUCAAGGAGCCAAUUUCAAAGUUGAAUUCAAGUCUCCAAUGUUUCCCCAAAAACCCUAGUUUCCAAUCUUGGCAUGGGUUCGAUUCUAAACGAUUUUCAAAGGCUUUAUUGCAUUGAAUUAUGACUGAAUUGUGGAUAUAAAAAUGAAUUAAGAUGAUUUCUUCCUUGAACCCAUGUUUUUCCCCAAAUGCUUAAGUUGUGAAUUGAGAUUGGGAAUUGGUUGAUUAUGUAGGUAUGUUGAAUUCUUGAUGUAUAUAUUGAAUUAGUUAUUGAAUCAUGUCAAUUUCCUUAUCAAUUGUAGUAUCUUGGAUUUAUGGGUUGAUGUUGGUUUUUAGCCUUGGAAGACAAUUUUAUGAGGGAUCUAUGUAUGAUUAUGAUGUGAAGUAUAUGUGUGUGAUCUCAAUGAAUGCAUUAUGAUCAUGUUUAGAAUGGAAUUGUGUUAGUAUUGAAAGCUUAUGAAUGAUGAUGAUAUAUGUGAAAGGUUAUUCUAACCUACACACACUUAAAUGAAGAAUGAUUGAAGUUUUCUAUGAUUAUGUUAAUGAUGAUGUGUUGAUUGAAAGGCUAUUCUCAAUUUUACUCUAAUGAAUGAUAAUGACAUGUUGUGAAAGGACUUUCUCACAAUAUGGGUAUUCUUAGGUGAAAGGCUAUUCUCAUCUUUGAAUCUAUGAGCUAUCCAAUGAAUGAAUGUUUGGUUUGGGAUGGAUACUCAUCCAUGAGUUGAGGCGGAGUAUCUAGUUACAAUCUCUUAUCCUAUAAUAAUGAACUAAUGUAAUGAAUGUUAAGUAUUCCAUGGGGAAUAAUGGUAAGAACCGAGAUGAUAUGUCUUGAGAUGGGUGCUCAUCUGUGAGUUAAGGCGGGGUAUCUAGUAUCAAUAUCCCUAUCCCUUAAACUAUGUGCGCACAUAGGUCUAGCUAGUGGAUCCGCCUAAGUUAAAAAUAAUGGCCCUACCUUAGGCAAGUAGGAAUCAUUUAUCUGGUGAGGGUGACACCGAAAUUCCAUGAAUUGCUUACAUGGUCUAUGUCGGUUCAGGCUUACCCCCACAAAGAAUGUUAAUGAACUAUGGCUUCUCAAGAAUGCACUACUUAGUGUGGGUGAUUGUAUGGAAUGCCAUCCAUGCAUUGCACAAGUAGGCUUUUGAGAGGGGUUGUGAUGUGUUCCUUUAUAAUGUUAAGUGUAAUGAAAAUGUUCUUAUGAUGCUGUUAAUGAGAAUGUUGGCUUAAUGUCUAAUGAAUGAAGGUGUUCUUAAUGAAGCUAAUGCAUAAUGUUGACUUAUGAAUUUAAUGUAAUGAUGCAUGUUAUAGUUGGAUUGUAUUAUGAGUUACUUCCUUGCCAUGACUUAAUGAAUAUGAAUGUGCCUUGUCUAUGGUGGCUUCAAAGGACUACUUAGUGUGAGUAGUAGUAUGGGAUGCUACUCAUACAUUGCAUAUGUAUGACUUAGAGUUGCCCUAGGUGAUGGUCCUAAUGUGUUGAUAUGACUUAUGAAAUGUUUAUGUCUGUUAUGUAGAGUAUUGUGUAAAGAUGGAAAGGAUGAAUGGUAAGUUCACCUUUGGAGGCCUUAAGUGGUAUCUAGUGUGGAUGGUGGUAUGGGAUGCUAUUCAUACAUUUCACAAGGUAUGGCUUGGGGUUACUUGAGAUGAAAGCUUAAGGUAAUGAAAUGUCUUAUACGUUGAUUAUGUUCUAAUAUGGUUAAAUGACUUGUAUGUUGAUUAUGUGUGUAUAUUAUGCCUCUUAUGCUUAUAUUCAUGAAGUUUUCUCAAAAUGGCAUAAAUCAUGACUUUCAAAUAAAAUGUUUGUUUUAAGCAUGGUUUUUGCAUGGCUAUCAUACUUAGUACUUAAUUGUGCUAACCCAUAUUGUCUUUACCUUUAUGAAGUCUAGGGAUUUGUACUCAAUUUGACUCUCUCUAGUUCAAGGGCUUGGAUUGAGAUUCCUCCAAGGCUAAGUGGUGUGUCCUCAUAGAUCGAGGACAAGUGUUUAGAUAUUUCUUUUCUUCCAUGUCAUAAACAAUUGUUAGUCUUUCGAUUGUAAAGGGUCGUGUCCCUACUUUAGUUUUCAAGAUGUUGGUUUAGAUGGCCAUGAGACAAUAGACUUCCACUACUUUCGAAUGUGUUAAAUGAGUAUUUUGAUUGUAUGAUUUUAAAGAAAGAUUUAAUUCCGCACUAUAUUCCUUAUAUCGUAUGUUAUGAAUGCUAUGAGGCUUGUAUGAGACUUUUCGAAGUCUUGUACGACGUGUCACUUCCGGGGUAUAGGCUCGGGUCGUGAUAGUUGGCUCAAGCCUUGACGGCGCAAGCCAAUAGAGAGGUGGUAGCUCCGGCAAACCAAUUAAGGGGGAUGGGUGCUUCUAGAAUAAGGGAGUUUUUGAGGAUGAACCCUCUAGAGUUUAGUGGCUCCAAGGUGGAAGAAGAUCCAAAUGGGUUCAUAGAAGAGGUUUAUAAGACACUUGCUAUAAUGGGGGUGAUUUCUAUAGAGAAAGUGGAACUAGCCACUUAUCAAUUGAAAGAUGUUGCCCAAAUUUGGUAUGAACAAUGGAAAGAUAGUAGGCCGGUAGAGGUCGGGUCCUAUACAUUGGGAUAUGUUUAAGGAGGAAUUUCUAAAUAGGUUCUUCCCCCGGGAGUUGAGGGAGGCCAAGUUGAAAGAGUUCAUCAACCUUAUCCAAGGUACUAUGAGUGUUAAGGAGUAUGCCUUGAAAUUCACUCUUUUGUCUAAGUAUGCUUCAUCCAUAGUGUCAAAUCCGAGAGAUAAGAUGAAUAGGUUUUUGUCGGGUGUGUCUGACACGGUAGCCAAAGAAUGUCGUACAACAAUGCUUGUUUAUAAUAUGGAUAUCUCACACCUCAUGAUUCAUGCCGAACAAAUGGAAGAAGAAAAACUUAAGGAAGAAAGAUCUAGGGAGAAAAAGAGGUCUAGGGUGGAUGGUGAUAAAGCUUUUUAUGAUGAAUCCGAUCGACAUGGUCAUUCUAGGAAUCGACAAAAGUUUUCUGGACAAGGCUUUUCUAAUGCUCCAAAGCAAAAGGGUAAGAGGGUAUCUACCCCUACGCCACAAGGGAUAAGAUAUGAGUCCCUAUGGACCUCUUGUGCUGGGUGUGGUAAGAGGCAUGAGGGUACAUUUUUGGCCGAUAGAAAGGGUUGCUAUAGUUGUGGUAAGAGUGGCCACAUAAUGAAAGAUUGCCCUAAGGCUAAGGUUACAAGAAGAGAGGGUAAGAAAGUUGCCUCUAGCAGUGGAGAUGUGGAGCCUCAAAAGAAGAAUAGGUUUUAUACUCUCCAAUCUAGAGAAGAUCAAGAGUGAUCUCCUCAUGUCCCUUCCGGUAUGUGCUUUAUGCUUUAGUAAAUUUCCGGAUUUAUUUUUUGUUGUGACUUGUUAUGUUGGACUUUGAAGUUGUUUUUAGCAUCUAUGAUGUUUAGAAAAGUUUGUGUAGGCUUACUCCCAAGGGGGAGAUAGUGGGCGUACCUAGUAGGGUUAUUGUAUGCUUUAUGUGUUGCCAUGAUCUCCUUAUAUGCAUGUUCAUGAAAAUGCUUAGGUCUUGUUAGAAAUGACUUAUUUGCAUUAUUUCCUCAUGUUGUCAUGCAUUUGAGUAAGAUUUGCAUAUAGACUUCAUGAAUUGAUUAUAAGCAUGCCUUAGUUGUCGGAGUUGAAAGGUUCCUCCUAGAAUAAAUGCUUUAUGAGAAGAAAUUUGCAUUUAGGCUCCUCCUUGAAAAUGUGUGUGUUGAGAAUGUUUUAGCUAGGAGAUGUUAGUUCCUCCUUGAAAAUGAGUGGAUAUAGAUUUUCAUGCAUUUUGGGGUGGUAGAAGUAGUUCCUAUUCCAUUGUGUGCAUUUUAUGUGUUUAGCUUGUGAUUGAAGUUCUCUUCCUUGGUUAGGUGCAUUAGAAAUAAUGCAUGCAUGAUGGGCUGUUAGCUUAGAGUUUUGACUUUAAGAAGUGUUUAGAAUCCUCAUUCGAAGACGAAUGAUCCCAAGGGGGAGAUAUUGUAAAGCCCAGGAAACUAGCAAGUUGAACUAGUGAGUUCUAGAGACUUUCGUAAGAGUUUGGGAGUGUUGUAUGAGGAUUAAAAGUCAUAAAAGAAUUUCCCGUAGAAUGAGGGUUUUAGGGGUUAAACAUCCGGGUACGACCCCCCAAGGACCACCCAAGGGGUCCUUGAGGAGGACCUCAAAAUAGCCCAAAAAGCUGUCAAAAAAAUGUCACCUACGUUUCGCCACGUACUGGCCGUAGGUGGACCCACAUCCCGUAGGUGGGGGUCGUGGGUCAAGGCCUGUUAAGGCCUGCAAGAUGAAUCCACCUACGAGUUUCCAUCAUGGGCAGUAGACCCAUCCACGGUCCGUGGAGGGGUGGGCGUAGGUCAACAUAGUUUUUGGACUUUUCGUUUUUAGUUAUGUGUUUAGGGGUUAAGUUAGUAACUAGUUAGGGUUUAGGGAGGUCGGUUAGUUAGUUAAAUAACCACCUAUGAAUACCUAAUACGACCCUAAAAUAAUUCAUUUAACUCAUUCAUCUAAGACCCCAAAAUACUACUCCAAAAAUACCUCUCUAGAAGUGAAGAAGAAGAAGAAGAAGAAGAAGAAGAAGAAGAAGAAGAAGAGGAAGAGGAAGAGGAAGAGGAAGAGGAAGAGGAAGAAGAGGAAGAAGAGGAAGAAGAGGGCAGAAGAAGAAGAAGGAAAUAGGGCAGAAACUAGGGUCGAAAUUCACCAUUGAAGCAAGCUUUCUUUAGGGCUUUGAGUUGAGGUAUGUUUAGCUUAUUCAUCUAUGGGUUCUUUCACCCGAGCCCCCAUAGUUUCCUCCAAUUGUGAAGUCAAAAACCCAUUCUAGUUAGGGUUGUGCUUGGAUUGUGGAUAGGGUUUGGGUAUGAUUCCAAUCUAGUGGAUAAUACCUAAUUAUGAUUUUAUUAGCAUGUAAUUGUGAUAUUAUGACGAAUUCAUGUGAUUUCUAUUGUAAACCCUAACCUAAAUUGAUGAAUGUGAUAAUUGUAGGUUUAUGCCAUGAGAGGCAAAAUUAAAGGUUCAAAGGUGAUCUUCCUGAAUCAAUACCAUGUAUAGUAAUUGAUCAAAGAUAGGAUCAUAUAAUAAUGAAUUGAACUAGACUUUAUUGAAUAUGAAUGAUCUUGAAUUGUAAAGAUGAAAUUGAACCUCUAUGAUGAUUUAUGACUUGAAUCACUUAGUAGUAAAGAAUGUAAUUUAAUAGCUUUUUAUUUAGACAUGAAUGAAGUUCAGCUUGAAAGUAGAGCUUGUAGCCAUCAAUGUUAGGACUUUGGGGGUAAAGCCAAUAUUAUGUGAUUGUGUUGUGUAUUGUUUCUCUCUUACACUCUUAGGCAUGAAUUUGCAAGGAGAUCCAAAGGUUCUCCCACAUAGAAGGAUUCUAGGUUGGCUUAAUAACCUAAAAUGAAUCAAAGCAUGUUAGACUAGAAUAGCUUGAAGUUGUGAUGUAUGAUCCCUUCAUGUAUAGCUUGGCUUAGUAGGAUAAGACCAAGGUUGUUAGCUUAGGAUGGAGGAUAUAUACUCUCCUAAGGUAUAGCUUGACUUGGCAUUGUAUAAUGCAUUUCAUGGUAGCAAGAGUUAGGAGUAGUCAUGGUAGCCUAGGAUUGAGGAUUUAUACUCUCCUAUGGGUAGCUUGAACUAGCAUUGUUAGGAUGCGUUCAUGGUAGCAUGACUUAGUUUGGCCAAGACCAUUUCAUGGUAGCUUUAGGAUUGAGUUCUUAUACUCUCCUAAGGGUAGCUUGACUUUGCAUUGUAAGAUGCAUUUCAAGGGUAGCUUGAGUUAGGUUAGUCAUGGUAGCUUGGGAUUGAGGACUCAUACUCUCUUAAGGAUAGCUUAGGAUUGAGAAUCAUACUCUCCUAAGGAUAGCUUGCAUUUGUAUCAUAAUAUACUUGUAAGGGUAGCAUGACUUAGUUUGUCUAGGACUAUUUCGUGGUAGCUAGGAUAGGACACUUAUACCUUUCCUAGAGUAGCUUGGACUUGCACGAUAGUGUGUCUUCCAAGGUAGUUAGCUUAGCUCAACCUAGUUAUGUUAGUAAUAUGACAACAUGGUCUAGCCUAUUAGGGGGUUAUUUCUUGGUAGCCUUGAAUAGAGGGAAAUAGAAUAGAGGGACUAGUCCCCAACUAGUGAACAUUCAUGGUAGUCUAAAGGAGUACUUAGUGUGGGUAGUAGUAUGGGAUGCUAUCCAUACAUUGCACAAGUAUGACUUAAGGCUAGGUAUGAUGGGUUCCCACACAUAGUAAGACUUAGCUUGGGCUGUUUCUAUAGUUGCCUUCCAAGAUAUGAUUGACUAAAGGUGAUAGUUCCCUUGUCUACAUGUAGUAAGGCAAUAGUAAGACCAAAGGAGUGUGAAUAUGACUAUGAUGACUUCAAGGUUAUACUUAGUGUGAAGGGUAGUAACAGACCUGAAUAGUCCACAAAUUGGAUUCAUUUAGGGCUGUAUUUUGAUAGAAAUAGUGUCCUCGAAUGCUUAUUUUGUCUCAAUAUCUGAUGAAAACUUUUAGGUUUCAGGAACUUGAUGUUUUAGUGGAAGCAUGUACAUUUCGGCGCAAAAGGGAACAAAAAGGCUGAAAAGAACGAAGAACCUGAAGCUCGAGCAUCGCCAAGCACACUUUGAAAAUCUCCAAGCACACUUGGCGAAUCGCCGAAGGGAUUUACUCCGCCAUUUGUUCUAGUACGCGAUGCCCUGAAGGAGAAGGAUCAAAAAGGCGAUAAAAGGAGCAGUCAGCGCUUCGUCGAAUAGUUCUGAAAAGCAGUACUAUACCUCCCAAUGGUCUAGAAUGUGAAGAUGCGGAAGGCAAGCACGAAACGACGAUGAGACAGACGAAGAGCGAAUCACUAAAUUCAUUAGGCGAUAUCGACUAACUUCACUGAAAGAUCCGCCAACACUAUUUUCCAAAGUCUAUAAAUACUGAAGUUUGUAUUAAUUUUAGGGAGUCAAACUUUUAUUUUAAUUUCCAUAAUAGAAUAGUACUUUUUGGAUAUUUUUCUCUCAAGUUUGGAGAGGGUUUUUGGGAAACUUGAAGAAAUAAGGAUUUCAUCUUUCUCAAGUUGGAAGUGGGUCUUCUCCAUUCUUCUUCCUUUGCUUAAAUUAAGGUUUAAUUUAUUAUACCCAUUUGAUUUUACUAUCAUUUUAGGUUUAUUUUGUUAUUUCUUGAUGUGUGACUAAAAAACCACAUUCUUGGGGUGUGAUUUAGCAAAUAUGUGUUGAUAUUAUUGUUGGGUCUUGCUUGCUAAUAGGUUAGAUGUAUUUUAAUGGUGAUUUCACAUAGUGGUUGUGGUUUAAUCUAAAGGGUUUGUAGUUGCAAAUACAAAGCCACCCAUGUGUUUUCGGCUUGCCCGAGAGGGAGGGUGCGAAACCAAGACCACUAGACUGAUAGCCUAAGGAGUGGGUCGACAUGAGGUUCUGCCCCGAGAGGGGUGAGUCCUAGUCCCCAUAUCCUAACACUCAGCUCGAGAGAGUGAGUGGGGUAAGGUGUAGGCUGGUCUUCAUGCUUCAAAUGGGUGUCCGAGAAGAAUGCAUUUGAAACGGGGUAAGUUGCCCGAGAGGGAACUUAUUUCCAUUUAAAGCUUAGGCUAGUCACUAUUAUCUUACAAUUUUUCUUUCAAAAGCAUGUACCCAACUACUUAUCUCAACUUGUAUUGCGGUCACACCCCAAGAACAUGUCCCCUUACUUGAUUUUAUUGUUAAUUUUUGCUAUUUUUUCUGCUUGUGACAAAAAUCCCAAAUCGAUACUUGACACUUUUGUGUCUCCCCUUUAAUUUACUAUGUUUUUAAUCGUUAAUGUCUUUAGCUACGACUAGUUAGAGCUUAGUUUUAUUUUUCUAUCAUUUCUCAAAACCACUCCCUUUGGACACGACCCUAACCUUUAGUUGGGUUACUAUACUAUCAACGAUCAUAGACACUCAUACCGUAGGUUAGUGUCAUUAGUCACGAUAAGCAUCAAAAUGGCGCCGCUGCCGGGGAUUGGUGUUAUUUGAGAAUUUUUAGAUUAGUAGAAUUUUUGUUCUUCUGAUUUGUAGUUUACUAAUUUUACAUUUAGUUUUGUUCUUCAUUGAGUUGUCCAUUAAGAUGAGCAUGGCUGAGCAAUGUAGUGGCAAUUUGGUUGAAAUGAGCCGAGGAGUCCAAAAGGACCUCACACUGACUGCACUGGCAUCUCAACUAUACGACUUGGCCACCAAAAUCUCAGAGGUGGAAGUCCAAUGCAACAAUAAGGGGAGGUAUAUACCCCCUCAUGAGCAGAGGAAGUCUAGAAAUUGGGAGAAAAAUCAUGUCGAGGACACACUUCAAAUCAUUCUCCAAAAGAUUACCGAUCAAGAUCGGUGUUGGAAGAAAUGAAGGAGAAUGUUGAAGUGUUGAAUCAAAUGAUUGGAUCUCACUCUAGAUCAAUCCAGCUGAUCAGGUUAUUCCUGAGUUUUGCAGUACCUCAUCUCGACCUAAAUGACAUAUUGGGGUCAACUAGUGACAUUGGGGCAAACCCCAAUAACGGAGAGUGAGACAGAGCUUCCGUCGUGCCACGAUGUAAAAUAAGGCGCUUCCUGGGAGGCAACCCAAGGUUUUACUGCUUUUAAUUCGUCUGUUCGAAUAAUGGUGUGCUGAUUUUGUAGGGUAAAAUGAGAAAGGUGUUGAGAAGUGCAAGUUGGUGAGACAAUGACCCAGUGGGUAAGUCGCCGAAUCUAUCGGCGACUCCGACUUAAUCCACCGUUGGGACCCCAAAAUAAGAGAUGUCCUGUAAAACUCGGCGAGGUAAGUAUACAUUCAGCGCGUUGCCAAUUUUAUCGGCGAUAAGACUAACGUCACCGAAUGACAUAGAACUGAACGGUUAUGUAAAGGCAGAAAGUCAAAAUGUUUGAAGCUCUCACUUUCCCUCUUCUCAAACUCCUCAAAAUCACACCAAAGGUACUUUUUAUUAAAUUUUUACCUUUCCAUUAGUAUUUCAAUUGGUAAAUAGUGCUUGGGGUUGGAUCUCUUUGCUGCCUAGCAUUUCAAAAAGAAUUUGAUCGGCAUUAAAGGGUAGCCCAUAAAACCCCGAUUUAUCUUAAAAGUUUUUGCACUCUUUUGCAAUUGUAGUAUCAGGAUGACGUGUGUUGGGCCUCUCUGAUAGAAAUAAGUUGAUAUGCUAUGAGUAAUUUGAGCUUAAUUUCCUGAAAUAUUUUAAUAGUCGAAUGCCUUGUUGUUUGUGCAUUAAUUUGAUUGAGUUUGUACUGGGUGUUGCUUGAUUGUCGUUAUAUUGGUGGGGUAAAACCUAAAUGGACCAAAUUAGUGCUAAACAACAAAGAUUACUCAACAAAAGAAUGGGUGACGACAUUCUUAAAGGUGAUCGUAUGUAAAUGGCCAAAAUUUGGCAAGACCGGAAGAAGUCUGAGUAUUCUGUGAUGAUGGGAAGUAUGGGUCUUUUGUGAAUUUCGUGUAUGCAUGCUUUGAUUUUGUUUCCAAGGUUUGUAAGGUCGAUUCUAAGAAGUGGGUUGAAAAGUAGGCACGUUAAAUCAGUCGGCGAGCUGGGUCGAGCUCGCCAAAUGAUUCGACGGUUCGCCUACUGGUCUUAGAUCACCCUUUACUCAUGUCCAUAGUACUGAAGGAUCUGUAACUCUCGACGGACACAUCCGUGGUCAUCGAAGGUAGUCGGCGACUCGCCAAUAGGACUUUAGACCGACCUUUGCAUGCUCCCUUUACCCUCUUUCACUGCAUCUUUUGGUGGACAACUUCGUCAUCGUCGAAAGUAGUCGGCGUCUCACCACUUAGACUCUUUCAUCACUUAUUUUCCUAGAUUUCAAGCUUAUCCCUUCGGCGAGUUCGACCUAGCUCGCUAAAAGAGAUUUGGUGAUUCACCGACUAAUCGAUGAACCUUUCUGCUUCAGAUUUUCUGUGUUUUAGUAUGAUUGUUCUUCUGACUAGUCAUAAAAUUUAGCAGAUAUGGUACGCACAAACCUAAAUGCACUACCGCAGAAAAAGGCAACAUGAGUUUGAGACACCCUUUUUGAACGGCUGAACUUGAGUUUGUUUGAGGACAAGCAAAAGUUUAAGUUGGGGCUAUUGAUGAGUCCACAAAUUGGACUUAUAUAGGGCUGUAUUUUGAUAGAAAUAGUGUCCUCGAAUACUUAUUUUGUCUCAAUAGUUGAUGAAAACUCUUAAGUUUCAGGUAUUUGAAGUUUUAAUGGAAGCAUGGACACUUAGGCGCAAAAAGGAACAAAAAGGCUGGAAAGAACAAAAAAGAUUAAGCCCGAGCAACGCCAAGCACACUUAGCGAAUCGCCGAAGGGAUUUACUCCGCCAUUUGUUCCAGUACGCGAAGCACUGAAGGAGAAGGAUCAAAAUGGUGAUAAAGGAGAAGUCAGAGCUUUGCCAAAUGGUUCUGCGAAGCAGUACUAUACUCCCCAAUGGUCCAAAACCUAAAUAUGCGGAAGACAAGUACGAAACGGCGAUGAGACAGACGAAGGGCGAAACUCUGAAGUCAUUAGGCGAUAUCGACUAACCUCGCCGAAAGAUCCGCCAGCGCUAUUUUAUGAAGUCUAUAAAUACUGAACUUAUUAUUAAUUUUAGGGAGUAGAACUUUUAUUUUAAUUUCCAUAAUAGAAUAGUACUUUUUGGAUAUUUUUCUCUCAAGUUUGGAGAGGGUUUUUGGGAGAUUUGAAGAAAGAAGGAUUUCAUCUUCCUCAAGUUGGAAGUGGGUCUUCUCCAUUCUUCUUCCUUUACUUAAAUUAAGGUUUAAUUUCUUAUACCCAUUUUAUUUUACAAUCAUUUUAGGUGUAUUUUUUUAUUUCUUGAUGUGUGGCUAAAAACGCCCAUCCUUGAGGUGUGAUUUAGCAAAUAUGUGUUGAUAUUAUUGUUGGGUCUUGCUUGCUGAUAGGUUAGAUGUACUUUAAUGGUGAUCUAACCUAGUGGUUGUGGUUUAAUUUAAUGGGUUUGUAGUUGCAAAUACAAAACCACCCAUGUGUUUUCGGCUUGCCCGAGAGGGAGGUCGCNNNNNNNNNNNNNNNNNNNNNNNNNNNNNNNNNNNNNNNNNNNNNNNNNNNNNNNNNNNNNNNNNNNNNNNNNNNNNNNNNNNNNNNNNNNNNNNNNNNNNNNNNNNNNNNNNNNNNNNNNNNNNNNNNNNNNNNNNNNNNNNNNNNNNNNNNNNNNNNNNNNNNNNNNNNNNNNNNNNNNNNNNNNNNNNNNNNNNNNNNNNNNNNNNNNNNNNNNNNNNNNNNNNNNNNNNNNNUAAGAACUCUUCCCCAUACUUGAUUUUCUUGUUAAUUUUUGCUAUUUUUACUUCUUGUGACAAAACCCCCAAAUCGAUAUUUGACACUUUUGUGUCUCCCCUUUAAUUUACUACGUUUUUAAUCGUUAAUGUCUUUAGCUACGACUAGUUAGAGCUUAAUUUAAUUUUCUAUUAAUUCUCAAAACCACUCCCUUGGGACACGACCCCAAGCUUUAGUUAGGUUACUAUACUAUCGACGAUUGUAGACACACAUACCGUAGGUUAGUGUCGUUUGUCACGAUAAGCAUCAAUGCCUUUCAUGCAUCACACAAGUGUGCUUUGAAGUCACUUAGGAGUAUGGUACCCUUAUAGUAUAAAGGCGUAAGAGUUAACCAUGCAUAUAGACUAUGAUUAAGAUGUCCAAAAAGGGAUACUUGGCUUGGGUGGUAUUAUGGGAUGCUAUUCUUGCUUUGGAAAUGUAUACUUUUGAGGUUACUUGAGAAUGGUGCUAUUAUGCUAAAGAUGACCAAGAGUCAAUUAUGCUUAUUAUGAUUCUGACUUAUCUCCUAUGCUCAUUAACAAUGUCUUAUGUGGACUUAUGUUUAUAUGAUGCUUAUGUUGGAGACCAUGCUAUGACUAUGAUGAGUAUGCUAUGAACAUGUUAUUAUCUCUUAUGUUUAUGUCUUAUAUUGACUAACCAUUUUGAGAUACUCUUAUGAUGUUGUGCUAGCUUUCAUACUUGGUACAUUUUGUAUUAACGCAUAUUGCCUACAUUCUAUCAAUUGUAGGGUUUCGGAGAUUGAGUUGCUUUGGAGGCUAGGUUUCUAAGGUGCAAGAAGAGUUGAAGAAUUGGUGAGUCCUCAUAGCUUCGAGGACAAACCCAUGUUUCCUUUAUGUCAUUUAUUUAUGUUUUAGACUUUGUAUGGGAUGUGUCCUAAGAGUUUCAUUCAAGAAUUAUGUUAAAUGGUUUGAGACAAAGGAUUAGUAAAUACUUCCUCUUACUUUUAUGAAAAAUGACUUUGAUUGUAAAAGUUUUAAAUUUUCCCGUAUUUUGUUUCUAUUACAUAUGUUAUGAUGCUAAGGACUUGUAUGAGACCCAUUCGGGAUCAAGUACACCAUGUUACAUCAAGGGGGUACCCUUGGGUCGUAACAAAGGGAAAGAUUAGGGGAUGAAGAACCCCAACCCACACCCUACCAGUAUGGGCCGUGGGUUAGUCCACGCCCCAUAGGUGGAGGUCGUGGAUGGGGCCUAUAGGUUGGUCCAAGUCGAUUUAAAGGAGGGGUAGUUUAGGUAAUUCCUAUUUUAGUUAGUAUGAUGUGAGGUCAUUUUGUAUUUUUUUUAAUACACCUAUAUAAGUCCUUUUAAGUCAUUAACCAACCCAUUCACCUCAUAAAUCCUAAUACCCAAAUCCAUAACCAAUUUUCCCCAAAUAAACUCUCUCUAGAACUCCAAGGAAGCAAAAGAAGAAAAGUUAAUCUAGGGUUGAACAAUCAAUAUUUUCUAAUCAAAUUCAUGGGAAAUAUUCAAUAAGGUAUGGUAACUCUUCAUCUAUGGGUAGCCUUCACCCAUAGAGCCCCUUCAAAACCCCCCAAUUUCAAAUCUAGAAAACCCAAAAGUUACUGUUUGACUUCAAUCUCAUGGAUUCCUUUCAAAUUCGUUUUAAAUGAUUGAAUUAUGUUUUUAUGGAUAUAUUGAUGAUUUUCUAUGAUUGUAAGUUGAAUUCCCCAAGAAUCCAUUGGAUCUUAAAGUGUGGGUCUUGAUUGAUGCAAGUAGAAUGUUAUGAAUUGAUUACUUGAAUUAUGUUAUCAUUCAUGCAUACUGUAUUAAUUCUAGGUGUGUUGAUUGAAUGUGAUCUAUUUUCCUUGAAGGGCAAAUUAUGAGAAUUAUGUAUUAUCAUGAUAUUUAUGUACAUGCUUUAUGAAUACAUUGACAAUAAAGUGAUUAUACCUAUGAUGUAAUUGUGGUGUUGUUGAAAGGUUAUUCUCACACACGCACACUUAUAAAUGAAGUUUCUAUGAUUAUGAUAAUGAUGAUGUGUUGAUUGAAAGUCUAUUCUCAAUUAUACACUUAUGAAUGAUGAUGACAUAUUGUGAAAGGUUUUCUCACAGUAUGGAGAUUCUUUGGUUGAAAGGCUAUUCUCACCUACUUAAUCUAGGAGCUAUCUUAUGAAUGAUGUUGGAUUGGGUGUUGAUAUAUUCUUCCAUAAUAAUGAACUCAAGUAAUGAAAUGAUAGGUACUUCGUGGGGAAUAAUGCUAAGCACCGAGUGGAUAUUGAUAUGAGAUGGAAGCUCUCAAAUGAGUUGAGGAGGGGUUUCUAGUAGCAAUCUCUUGAGAUGGAUGCCCAUACGUGAGUUGAGGCGGGGUGUCUCGUAGCAAUCUCCUUAUCCCAUAAUUAUGUGCCCUCAUAGGUCUUUAGCUAGUGGAUCCACCUAAAAGCUAAAUUAAUGGUUCUACAUUAGGCAAGUAGGACACCCUUUUCUGUGUGGGUAACACCGGAUUCCAUGAUUUGCUCACAUGGUUUAUGUCGGUUAAGUCUUACCCCCACAAUGAAAGAUUAUGAACUAUGGCUUCUCAAGAAUGAACUACUUAGUGUGGGUGGGGGUAUGGGACUUCAUCCAUGCAUUGCACACAUAGGAUUUGAGAGUAGUUGUGGUGUGUUCCUCUUAUGUUAUGAUGAUUUAUGAAAUGAAGUAUGCUUAAUGUGAAUUGUUGCUAUGAGUUGCUUUCUUUUAUAUGACUUAUUAAAUGUGAAAGUAUCCUUAUCUAUGAGUAUGAACAAAGGAUGAAAUCGAAGAAUGGUAAGUAUGAUUAUGGUGGCCUAAAAGUGAUACUUAGUGUAGAUGGGAUUAUGGGAUCUUAUCUAUGCAUUGCACAAGUAUAACUUAGGGUUACUUAUGAGAUGGUUCUAGUAUGCUAUGAUGAUCUAUAUGUUGAAAAUGCUUAUGACUUAUGCUUUUGUACUAAUGUGCAUGAUGAUUCUCAAACUGGGUAAAGUGCAUGCUUUUUAACUAAAAUGUCCUUUUUAGCAUGUAAAGGUUUUGGUGCAUGGCUAUCAUACUUCGUGCAUUUUUGUACUAACCCAUAUUUUCUACAUUUUCCCCAAAGUCUAGGGUCCGGUUCUUAAGGCGAUCUUAUCUUGGUUCAAACAUGGAUCGACUAUUCUCCUAGCUUGUGUUGAGUCCUCAUGAUUUGAGGAUGUAUGAGUCAUUUAGUAGUUUAGUUGUAGUGUUUCAUUUUCGGACGAUAUUGUAAGGGUUGUGUCCCUAUUUGAUUCAAAGAUUGUAUUAGAUGGCUAUCUAAGACAAGUUAGACUUUCGCUUGCUUUUAUAAAAGACUUCGAUUGUAUGGAUAAAGUUUUAAAUUUCCACAUCAUUUCUUUUAUCCUAUGUGAUGAGAUGCUAAGGGCUUGUAUGAGACCCCUUCGGGGUCAAGUACGAUGUGUUACAUCUAGGGGAGUACUCCUGGGUCGUGACAAACUUGGUAUCAGUAUGAUGUCUCAUAAGCCACGUCUAGUAGAGUGUUGUUCAUAGUGUGAAGCGCGCCACAUUUAUGAAUGAGAGGAUAGAAUAUGAUUAGGAAAUCUCACUUCUUCAUUCUUUAAGUUGUUCCAUAGAGUUUAACUCUAUAAGGUCUUUCUCCCUAUGGUCUUCAGGAUAUGACUACUCGAAGUGCUCAUGCUACAAGGAGCGAGGGAGAAAAUGUUGGUUGUUAUACCAACUAUGACUAUGUUAAGGCUUGAUAUGUUAGAUUUAGAUGAUAUCCUUAUGAUAGAUUGGUAGUAUUAUUUUUAUGCUCCUCUGUGAUUGUUGAACCCGUACAGUCAAAUGGUUAGUUUUCGAGUGAGCCUAUACAUGAGUGGAAGGAGGGAAAGUCUAUGUCCUAAGUUUGGAUUAGGUUUUGUCUUAAGGUUGAUUUUGAGGGUUGCAUGAAUCACCUAGUGAAGGUAAGGGAGAAGAGUUCAAGUGUUGACCAACUUCAAAGAGUUAGUUAUUCUUAAGAUUGAUCUUAAGUAUGGUCAUUUUGAGUAACGUGUUUAGAUAAUACUUGAAUAUGAUUGAAUGGUAGGUCCCACCAAAGGUGAUGAUAUGAGUUGAAAUAGUUUAGAAUUGACUUGCUUCGACCUUAGAAUUGAAAAAAAUGAUGCUUAGAAGAGUUGAUAUAGGCUUACUCCCAAGGGGGAGAUGAUGUGCCUAGAAAGUUUGGUCGUUGAAUAUUCUUGAUGUUCAUGAUUUGGAUUAGCUUGAAGUUAUCACCUUGAGAGAUGUAUUGAGUUUAACACCUCGUAUUCUACGUGUAUUAGUUCUAUUUAUAUGAUGCUUAUAAAUUUCCUUGUGGUAUAGUUAUGGACUCGUUUUCUUAUGUGACUAGUGACAAUAUAAUAGGCUUAAAGUGAACUGUUUGUGGAUUUUGAUGCGACCCGAUUAAGUUGACGUCGAUGGAAGUAUUUAAACUUGAGAUCAUAAGGUGGUAUUUGAGUCAAGUUUAAAGUGACAUAGUGUAUAUAANNNNNNNNNNNNNNNNNNNNNNNNNNNNNNNNNNNNNNNNNNNNNNNNNNNNNNNNNNNNNNNNNNNNNNNNNNNNNNNNNNNNNNNNNNNNNNNNNNNNNNNNNNNNNNNNNNNNNNNNNNNNNNNNNNNNNNNNNNNNNNNNNNNNNNNNNNNNNNNNNNNNNNNNNNNNNNNNNNNNNNNNNNNNNNNNNNNNNNNNNNNNNNNNNNNNNNNUGACAAGUAGGAGCAUCACCUACUAAGACUCUUUUGACCAUGUUAUUGGGCCAAGUACACGACACCUACUUGCCUCAAUUUGGCCCAAGUUGAAUAGAAGAAUAAGGGGAAAAUGGACAGCCAAGGCCCAAUCUUUCCAAGCCCACAAGAAAUAAUUUGAAUGGAAAAGUCGGUGCAUCACCUAUUUAAAUGUGUGGCCUAAAUUAAAGACACAUGUUGGCUGCAAAUGAAGUACAAGAAAGGUGGCAAAAGAGAACCUAUUAAGGCCAAAAAUCUGAUACAAAUAUCACAUUUUCCUCUUAUCAAAAUUUUAAGCUCUUAAGUUCAUAUAUUUCUCUCUCAAGAUGAAACAGCCACCCAAUAUUUCCACUAGGGUUCUAACUAUUUUUCAUGUUGUUUCUUCCAAAGAAGCCAUAAGAUAACCUUCUCUCCUCUAUUGUUUCAAGUAUAUUGGAUAGUUCUUCAAGGGGAGUGAACUAGAGAUAGCUAUAUGUGUUGGCAUCCAAGGUUCUGCCACCCUCUUCCAAAGAUUAAGAGAAGGUUACAAAAACAGUAAUUGAAGGAGAAUAACAGAUUUAGAUAGCCAAGGUAAGGGCGCUGCCACAACCUCUAAUUAUUAGUUUAUUUGAGAAUUCUAGACUUACUUCUUUAUUGCAACUUGUGGGAUGGUGAUUGAAAACCAUAAAUUCAAGUCUUUUGAUUAUUUUUGAGUGUUGAGGACUGCUAUUGUAUUGAUUUGUUUAUGGGAGGUCAUGGAUGUACUUAGAGAAUGAUUGCGGAAAGCUAUAGGGGGGAAAUUUAUAAGCUAUGGUGAUGCAGCAUUAAAUUAAAGUUUUGGUAAGCUCACUGCCCGUUCCAUGGGANNNNNNNNNNNNNNNNNNNNNNNNNNNNNNNNNNNNNNNNNNNNNNNNNNNNNNNNNNNNNNNNNNNNNNNNNNNNNNNNNNNNNNNNNNNNNNNNNNNNNNNNNNNNNNNNNNNNNNNNNNNNNNNNNNNNNNNNNNNNNNNNNNNNNNNNNNNNNNNNNNNNNNNNNNNNNNNNNNNNNNNNNNNNNNNNNNNNNNNNNNNNNNNNNNNNNNNNNNNNNNNNNNNNNNNNNNNNNNNNNNNNNNNNNNNNNNNNNNNNNNNNNNNNNNNNNNNNNNNNNNNNNNNNNNNNNNNNNNNNNNNNNNNNNNNNNNNNNNNNNNNNNNNNNNNNNNNNNNNNNNNNNNNNNNNNNNNNNNNNNNNNNNNNNNNNNNNNNNNNNNNNNNNNNNNNNNNNNNNNNNNNNNNNNNNNNNNNNNNNNNNNNNNNNNNNNNNNNNNNNNNNNNNNNNNNNNNNNNNNNNNNNNNNNNNNNNNNNNNNNNNNNNNNNNNNNNNNNNNNNNNNNNNNNNNNNNNNNNNNNNNNNNNNNNNNNNNNNNNNNNNNNNNNNNNNNNNNNNNNNNNNNNNNNNNNNNNNNNNNNNNNNNNNNNNNNNNNNNNNNNNNNNNNNNNNNNNNNNNNNNNNNNNNNNNNNNNNNNNNNNNNNNNNNNNNNNNNNNNNNNNNNNNNNNNNNNNNNNNNNNNNNNNNNNNNNNNNNNNNNNNNNNNNNNNNNNNNNNNNNNNNNNNNNNNNNNNNNNNNNNNNNNNNNNAUUUAUAAGCUAUGGUGAUGCACCAUUAAAUUAAAGUUUUGGUAAGCUCACUGCCCGUUCCAUGGGAUGGUUGUUUCAUGCAAAUAACUAUAACAGACAAAAUUUGUGAAAUAAAACAAUCAAUUAGACGGAUUAUGGGUUUGCUGCCUGGCUACUAUUUGAUGAGUUGAAAUAUCCCGAGUUGGUUGGUAAGCUGCUAAUAUUAGCCUUAAUGAUUGGUUAUUGUAGAUGAAAACUAUGACGUUAAAGGACAUGUUGACACUUCGUAAGCUAUAUGAAUUGGAAAUUGAGGUAUGUAAGGCUAUUCGAUUUCCUAUUUCUUUGGCAUGAAUUCAACACUUGUAUUACAAAGUAAGCUUUCUAAGUGCCCUUGGUAGUGACUGAUCCAUAGUUGCAGUUCCUACUCCCUAGAGCAUCAAAGUGAGUACUCUAAUAUGAGUUUAUUACUAAAUGUAUGUGCUUACUCUGCCAAGUAUUAGCAUGCAGGGUUUAAACUUGUUUCAUCGUCAAAGUACCCUUGGCACGUAUUCCCCUGAUACAAAUCAAAAUAAUCCUAGUACUACAACAUUUUAGGCUUUUAGCCACCCCAGUAAAGUGUAGCCUAAACUAGCAAAAAGUGUGGCCUUUCAUAAAAGGCUACAUUUUUGGACUUUAAGCAACUCUUUUCAGGGGUGGCCAAAAGAAGCGUAGCCUUUAACAUUGGGCCACACUUUUUAAAUGUCGCCAUAGCAGCUACACUUAAAAAGCGUGGCAAAAGAGGUAUAAGGGCACACUUUUUAGUAAUUCAUUAGCAAUACCUUUUGUUUGAUUAUACUACACUUAAAAGUGUGGCAUUUUCUUUGUUAUUGGGCACACUUAAAAAAAUUUGUCUUUUAAAUCUCAUCUAGAGCAACACUUAUAAGUGUAACUUUUCUUAUGUACAUCAAGCCACACAUUGGACGUCCCUAUGCAACACUUUUCAACUGUGGCAAUGUUGUGUAGAAUUUUUGUAGCCACAAUUUUUCAUUUUUAAGAAUAAUAAUUUUUAUUUGCAUAUAUUCAAUAAUCACAUAUAAUAAUUAGAUAUAUAAUCGAUCUAAAGCACAAAAUUAGCUAAUAAAUAAAUCAAAAUUAUAUAUUUCAAAUAAACUUCAAGAAACAUAUCUUGUACAACCAAUACUUAGACAAACAUGUCUUGUACAACCAAACUUCGACAAACAUGUUCUCUACUAUCAAUAAAUUCCACAAAACCAAAUGAAUUCAAACAUAUAUAUAUAUAUAUAUAUAUAUGAAAAUAGUACAAAAACACUUCAUCGUUCACUAAAAUAGAUCAAGUUUACUUCAGUCAACUAUUCAAAUUCAACUACUAUCAUUUUCUUGUACAUUCAAAAUAAAAUUAUAAGUUAGUGAAAUAAAUAAUGUGUAUUUAAUAUGCUCAAAUUCACAGUAAGCCAAACCAAUCCAUAACAAUAAAGUCAUAGGAGAGCAACCAUAAACUGAAGCUUUCCUUAAUACAAAUCUAAAAUUGAGUCACAGUAGUAAAGCUCUCCAAAACUAACAAAUCUAAAACUGAGUCAUAACAAUAAAGUCACAACAAAGGUCUCCAAAACCAACAAAACAACAAGUUGACAUUGAAAAUUGACCAACCCAUGUCAUCACAACAGAGUAAAAUGUUAAAGCUGCUAUGAAUUCGGCAAAAAAAAAGGUUUGAAAAACUACAAAUAGAUGCAAAUCAGGAUUCAGAAGAGAAAGUUUGAUCAUUUUCACUGGAUCCAGAACCAACCAUAUACUGAAACUCUCUCUUGUCAUAAAUCUCCAAUAAAAAAUCCCUAAGCAUUUGUGUAGUACUUGUAGUUGUGGAACUACUAGAACUCGAACUUGGAGCCAUUGCUGAAGAAACAGUGCUUAUCUUGUCUCCAUUCCCAUCAUUUUUUUACACACAAGAGCUGCUCAAAUGAAUCUCAUUAGCAGCAGCAACAAUAGAGACCCAUCGUGCUGCAUAUCGGUUGACGGUGCCAAUUGACUAAAACUUUCCCCUUAGGCAUAAAUAGACUACUGGAAGACAAAUAUUUAUAAAUUUCAACAUUUUAAAUACAAGAGACAUUUAAAAGAAACAAAUAAUCACUUGGAAAGCUAAUUCAUGUUGAAGGAGAGGCUAGUAGAACUGGUUCUCUUGUUUUUACUGAUCUAAAUGUUCUGGUCAAGCUCGAGUGUCUAGAGAAGGAGAACACAACUCUCAAACUUGACCUUUCAUCUUGUUUAAAUGAGUUGCAAAUUAAGACCAUAGAGAGGUACUUGAGCACCCAAGCAGCAAAAACUACUAGUAAGUAGCAGUUAUAGAGCAUAAAGAAUGUGACCAAGCUUGAAGUGGAGUGUCAGAAACUACAAGCCUUGGCUCGCAAAUCAUCCCUACUUAGUGACCAAAGAUCUUAUGUUGUUUCAUCCUUCUCUAUUGAGUCCUUCACCAAUGGUCAAUCCGAUAGUGGAGAUCAACUGAAGACAGUCCACUCUGAUAGACAAAUGUUGUGCAAACCGGAAACAACUGAAUGUGAUCAAAGUUGCUCUGAUUCAUGGGCAUCAACACUAAUUUCUAAGCUUGAUCAAUUUCAGCACGAAAAAGUUAUGCCUAAAACUCUUGCUGCCCGGUCUUUGGAAAUUGACAUUAUGGAUGACUUCUUGGAGAUGGAGAGAGUCGCUGCAGUAUUUGAAAUUGUGAAUAAAGUCUCUUCACUUAUAUCUGAUGUUGUUGUUGAUGACUCAUCAAGUGAAGAGAAUCCCCUGUCAGCAGAAUAUGAGACCCUUUCACAAAGGGUGGUUGAAUUAGAGCAAAAGAUGGAGAAGAUUGAAGCAGAUAAAGUUGAACUAGAAAAUGCUUUAAGUGAGAGCCGAGAUGCCCUCAAGGUGUCUGAUUUGCAACUUAAGGAUGCUCAAAUAAAGAUAGAAGAGACACAAAAGGAGUUAGAUACAGUGAAUGAGUUAAAAGAGUUGCUUGAGUUUCAACUCUCUGGCAUGGAAAUAGAAUCACGAACAAUGUCUGCAAACAUUGACUCUUUAAAGACAGAAUUAGAAAGAGAAUGAUCCUUGUCAUCUGAUAAGGAAACUAAGUGCCAGGAAUUGGAAAAUGAACUAAGAAGAAAAUCCCAGGAAUUUGAACUUCAACAAGCUUCUACUUCAAAUGAUUAGUCGAAAAUAAAGCAGGUAACGCUUGUCUCAAUGGAUUCUUUUUAUGUUGUUCAAAAGUCUUGAAGCUCUUAUAUGCUAAGAUUUUCUAUUUGGAGGAUGAUGUAGUUGUAGGUGCUGACAAGCUUGCCGAAUGCCAGAAAACAAUUGCAUCUCUUAGGAAGCAUCUUCAUUCACUAGCCACUUUAGAAGAUCUCUUGAUUGACACAACAAAUCUUUUUGGAUUUCCUGGGGAAGGUUCAGUUGUGGCUGGAGCUAGUGGAGUGGAAUGGAAGUUACAUGUAAAUGAAACAUUUACCCGAAACAGCAAUUCAGACACUCCAAAAAUUGAGAAUUCUAGUCAUUCUAUGAACGGAAAUGAAGGAGAAUCAUCAUCUUCUUCGUCGUCAUCAUCAUCAGCUACUGAAGUGACAACAUCCAAAAGUAGAAAUGGUUUCGGGAAGUUGUUUUCUCGAAGCAAGAGUGGAAUUCAACUCUAAAAUGUAAGAGUAUAUUUGAGUAACAAAAUCAAAAGGGAUAUGACUAGAGGAAAGCCGAAUUGUAAUUUUCUUGAGAUUGAGCCAUCAUUGUUGCCAUCAAAUAUUCAUAUGGUUAUAAGUAGGAAUGGCUAAUUAAAUUUUGUUUAAUUAGCAUCAUAUGUUCUUUGAUUGUUAAGAGAAUUUUCAUAUCUUUAAAAAAACAAACAACACCAAAUAUGUCACAUUAUAAAUCUGUGCGUGCAAGAUAACUUAAAAAGAUUGUAAAUAUUGGUUAUUCAAGAAGAUUGGUCAUUGGGUUCAAAAAACAUGCGUCCCUCAUGCAACAAACACCUUACUCAGAUUACUGGCUCUUUUCAUAGUCUAAAAUUGUUAUAAAUUUUGGAUUCAGGCAAUUGUACAUUUUUUAGAGAUUCAGAAGAGAUAAUAUAAAGUAUUAACCUUAUUAGGGACUAUAACCACAUUAUUAUAACAUUUUUUACGAUUACAGGUUAAUGCGCAACCACAUUAAUUAGAGACCCUUUGAUUGAAUAUACUUGCAUGAAAGUGAAACACAACAAUCUUAGUGCAUCAGUCAGCUAAAUGUGGAAGCAAGAUGCAACAUUAUACUAAAUGUUGGGACACUUCCUCUAUUGAUAUAAUGCCAGCGUGAUAUAUACACUAUGUAGUCCACAAACUUUCAAAAUCUGUUUAUUUUGAAAAAUAUUUUUGAAGAAUAACAUAUUGUGUUUGGUAUACCAAUUUGGAUAAGACUUUGAUUUAAUCAAUACUAGACCAAUAAUUUACAGUUAGCUAAGAUUUCAAAAAAUGCUUCCAUGAAGAAGUUACUAUUUUGUUUUCAACUUUUGCUACUGCUCAAAAUUAUUUAUGCAGUUUUCCCCCUAAAAUCUUGUUUGGACAAUGUAAACUAUCAAGUAAUGAAGUUACCAGUUAAGAUAGUUGUAACUUGUAAAGAAAAAUGAUUUCUGGACAUAAGUGAUGUAAUUUUAAUUAUUCAUUUUGGUGGAAAAUAUUUUCUAACUAAAAACCAGAGUAAGAAUGAGCUUCUUCCUCGGGGAAACAUUUUCAUGGCAGAACACUUUUCCCUUCAAAGUAUCAUUUCUCAUAUGGAGGGCAUUGAGAGCAAAGCUUCCAACAAAUGAGAAGAUCAGAAAUUUUGGCAUGGAACUAGUCAACUGCUCAUGCUGCAGCAGACCUGGAAUGGAUGACAUAGAUGCUGUUAUUGUUUCAAGUCAUUUUGCUAAUCAUAUAUGAAGGAAAUUCUCUAUUUUUAUGGGUUUCUCUCACUGAUGAAACACCUCCUGCUAAGCUGGUGGGAAUUGGCAGCAAAAAAUGAAGCUCAAAAGCUGUUACAGCAGGCCUUGCCUCUUAUUAUUUGCUGGAACUUAUGGAAAAAUAGGUUCUCGGAAAAAUACGGGGGUAAACAUUCUAGUGUGACUAGAGUUAAUAUUUAACAUGGACCUUAAGGUAGAGUAGAUUAGGUAGGUUUUUUAUCAUUCUUCUUACUGUGUUAUUAUUGACUAAUCAGAGCCUAUAAAAGAAUAAAAUCAGAGUACACAGCAGCUAAAGCUACAUUUUAUACAAAGAGACUAGGAAAAAAGAGGUACAAUAGAAGUCCAUAUGCCCAUAUGCAAAUAAUAUAACUAUGAAAAUAAUAGUUCUUUGGAUAUAAUCUUGAGAAAGAUAAACCAUUACUAGGCACCCCCAAGUUAAAUAACAAGAUUACUUAAAGAAAAAUUAGAAGUCUUACACUUGGGUAAUUUGCUGGCUUUCAUGAUUUCCCCUAAGAAUCGUGAUUCUAUCUCUAUAAUGAACCUUCAGAGCAACCAAAAGUGUGACACUCUCCACUGAAUAGUAUCCACGGUCUGCAUUCAUUGAAAAAUUAUUCAAUGAUAAAAAAACUAUAAAAAUAGUCAAUCACAUAGAGAAUUGGUAAUCCUAGGAUUGGUAUGAUGAAAUGAGUGUAUGGAUGCGAAAAGGAAUUGUGCAUCAUAGAAAAUGUUAAUACUCCCUGUCUCUUGUCACAAAAAGAAUGUCACCUUUCUAAAUUUAAAAACUACUAUAUAACUUCAAAAUUCCAAGUUUACCUUAAUGAAAUGAUUUAUGGCCACAUAAAUAUCUAUAGAAUGUUUUAUACCACAAGUUUCAAAAGUCCCCGAUUCUUUCUUAUACUUCGUCACCAAACAAACACCAUCUGAAAAUUGAGCAGUAUGAAGCUGUGGUUUAUUUGCCUGAAACCUUAAUGAUGUCAGAUGCAAUUUUUUUAGAAAGAGUACAACAAAAGAAUGAAUAAUGCAAUCAUGAUCACAAGGAACACAUGCACGUUAUUUUAUAUACCAAAAGACAACUCUAGGAGAGAAAAUUUUCAAGAAAUUAGGGAUGAGUCGGUGUCAGUUGACAUCAUUAAAAACAUUACUACGUUGUAUUCCACUGGGCUAAAUUACUAAAUGCCCACUCGAUAUCUGUGCAUUAGAUCUUUUUACAUAGAGUACAAAGUGGUGACGAAGAACACUUCCACUAAAGAAAGGAUUUAUGUAGAAAAAAAGGCACAAAAGAACACUUUGUUACAGGUAAUAAGCCAUAGCACCUUUUCUCAAAUUUAUGAGUACGGAAAUUAAAUCCAACACGUGAAUCCUCACUUUCAUGAAACCCAUGUCUUCUCGCACUUAAAUAAGCUUAACAAAAGGGCAAUCUACAUGGACAACAAGCAAAAGUAAAUCCAAUGACGCAACUCUCACUGUCAAUUGUCAAGAACUGCCAUGUCCUCUUGCAUUUAAGCAAGCUUAACACAAGGCAAUAGACAUGAACACACACCGUAAAAAAUAACUACAAACAAAUUUUAGUCACUCAUCACUUCGAUUGGCUAAACGAUUGUUCCUCAAUUAGUGCCCUGCACGUGCUGACAAGAUAUUGUCGGAUAUCAACCACCUCCUUAAUACAGAAUUUCCUCACAUACAAUGGCUUCACAACUGGAUUGAUCUACUCAGUUUGGUGGAAAAAUGCAGACAUGAAGACAAAAUCUGGGAGGUAAGAUGGUUGAAGCCUCCUAACAAUAUUUUAAAGCUGAACACUGAUGGUACUGCACUCCUAAAUUACAACCAAGUUGAAACGAAAUGCAUUAACACUGAACAUCAUGAACGACUCCACCAACAAGAAAUUAACUUAUCACCAAAGAUCAUUAACAAACUCCACAUAUAAGAAAUAAACCCCUUUAAGUUUUAAGGAUGAGAAUGAAAGACAGCUGAAAUGUAAGACAAAGGAAGAUAACAAUGGCAUCAGUUGAGUGCACCUAUUAACUAAUUCUCCUCUAAAAGAUUUGGAGACCUGAUCCGGUAAAAUUAUUAGUGACCCUUUCCAAAACUAGAUCAUGAGCAUCCAGAGAAGCAGCCACGGGUAAACUUCUUCAAUUAAAUAAAAAAUGAUUAUAGCUAUAUGCUUCAACAAAGUGGCAGAGAGAGCUACAACUUAGACAUUAGCCAUAAGAAUUCAUCAUACACAAAGCAUAAAAUAUUGGAUUCUGCAGAUCUAGUGCAUAAAUAUCAUAAUGCAACUUAAAAUCUAAUUCAGUGAGAUUUAACAUGAAGGGAACUAAGAUUAACUUCUUUUGCUACUAAGAUUUAUUGAACAGAACCCGGAGUGCACUAUUCCAGCCAAUAACAUUUUUAAACAUUAGACAAAACAAUUAAAGAAAGUCCAUGUUAUACUUCGAAUCAGGAAAUGGUUGCUUAGCCCAAUCUAUGUAAAAUUUCAGUCUAUUAGCCUCGUAAAGAUUAAUAUUAUCUACCAUUUAUUAGCACGAAAGCGAUGCAGCAAAGAUAUACUCAAACUCUAACAACCAACUUACUCGAGCCAAGUUAAAGGAACUUUUGUUGCCUUAUUUCCUUGUGUAUCAACAUAAAUCAACAAAUAUCGUAUCAAAAACACAAGAAUACCAAAACCCUAAAGCUAAAUGUGUAACCAUACGCAAACAAUAAACCCAGAUGCCAUAAUCUUAGACUUUUAAAGAUAGAAAUUUUUACCUAAUAAACCCAGAUUCCAACAAAACCCUUUCAAUGUGUUGAAGCUUUAAGUGUCAUGACUCAAGGCUAGCCCCUAGACGUAACACGGCGUACUUGACCCCGAAGGGGUCUCAUACAAGCCUCUAGCAUCAUCAUUACACAAGACAUAGAAAAUAAUGCGGAAAAAUUUAAAACUUUUACAAUAGAAGUCAACCUUCUUCAUAUAAGGAAAAUAGGAACUAGACAUUGUCUCAAUCACCAUCUAAACAUAAGAGUACAACUAGGGUCAAAGCCCUUUACAUUAAUAAGUCUCCAAAAUAGGAAAUACAAUAUAGUCUAAAAACAUAGGAAGUACACUAGAGACUAGAAUCAAUAGCAACUUGUCCUCGAACUUGAGGACUCACCAAGCCGGGGGAAUAGUCGAUCCAAGCUUCACCUUCAAGGAAGUAGUAAGUAUCAACGACCGGAACCUACACUCAUAGUGAAGUAGAAGGAAGAUGGGGUUAUCACAUAAUAUGUACUAAGUAUGGAAACAUUCAUAAAAACCUUAAAACAUGAUAAAAAGGACAUUUUAUUUGAAAGAAUGCAUUUAUGAUGUUUGGAAACCAACAUACAUCUUCAAUGUCAAAGACAAGCCAAACAUCACAUUUAUUCUCAUUACAUGGUAAAGUCAUUACCUUAGUAACCCCUAAGGAACACUUGUGUAAUGUAUGGUUGGCAUCCCAUAAUACCAACCAUACUAAGCACCCCCUUGAAGCUACUUUAGCCAUGCACAUCAUCUUUAGACCUAAUCAAAAUCAUUAGUCACAAUUGAAGAAUUAGUCAUGUACAUUAAUUGAAUACAAGGAAAGCCAUUCAUAACAACUAUCCAUCCAAUACACAUGCAUACAUUUGAAUAACAUCAUAACAUAAAGGAACCAUCCUACAAGAUCCUACUAAGCCUACUUGUGCAAUGUGGAAGUGAAGUCCCAUACCCCCACUCCUACUUAGUAAGCUCACCAAGAAGUUAUAGUAUAGUUCACGUUCCAUUCAUUAUCUUCAUUAUUAUAUGGAAGAGUUGCCAUAACCAACAUAGACCAUGUGAGCUACAUGAAAUCCGGUGUCUAAAACCCCACACCGAAAGAAGGUAUCCUACUUGCCUAAGGUAGAACUAAAUAUAUAGCUAUAAGGUGGAUCCACUACCUAAAGACCUAUGUGGGAACAUAGUUUGUGGGAUAGGGAGAUUGCUUUUAGAAACCAUACCUCUUGCAUUAACGGAGGAGUUCCCAUCUUAUGAGUUCACAUGGAUGACCCAACCUCUUGCAUUAACGGAGGGGUCUUUACCUAAUUAUCCAUAACCACUCGGUGCUAAGCAUUAUUUCCCCAAAACUAUACAUUAUUAGUCUUUGAAUAGUAUCUACAUGUGUGAAGGAAUACUUUGUCUUUCGUUCAAUACAAUUCAUCAAAAUAGCUCAUAGAUUCAUUAAAGGUGAGAAUGUACUUUCAACUUUAGAAUCAUAAUUAGUAUGUGAGAAUAACUUUCACACCAAGAUCAUGUGUUUUCAUGGGAAUGGACUUUCAAUCAACACAAUAUGAUCAUCAAUUUCAUGCAUAACAAUGUGUAAAUGUGCAUAUGAGAACUAUACUUUCAAUUAACACUAUUAAUACAUCAAAAUCAUGUUUAUGCAUGGAGUGUGGGUGUGUAAUUGUCCUUGCAAUGACAUAAUCAACAACACUAUCAUCCUAGACACUUCAUUCAUAAUUAAGUGCAAAGGUAAGGGAAGAACUACCUUUCAAAAAUACCAUUCUUUACAGAUUAGUCAUAUGAGAUUUACUUUCUAAAUGAAUCAAUAGUUUAUACAAAUCUUGCAUUCAUAUGCACAAACCCUAGCAAUUUGCCUCUUUUCAAGGUCAUGAAUCAUGCCUCACAAUUACACCUAAAUAUACUAUAAUAUGUAUGAAUAAAACAAGAUUCAUUAACUAAAUUCACAUAGAGACAAUUCAUAAUCAUCAUUUUGCAUCAAUACACCCAUCACAAUACUUGAAAUUGGGGUCAUGGGGGUGUUCAUGGGUUCAAGAGGAAUUUUAUGAUGAAAAUCACCAUUAAACAUCAAAUCAUUCAUAAUAUAAUGCAAUUAACAUAAUAAAAUCAUUUUUAGGAUGAACCCAUGGUUGGAAUAGAAACCCUAGUUUUUUUUAACAAUGUAUCAAUUUCGAAAUCAGGAGGUGAAGGGCUUCAUGGAGAAAAGUGUUCCAUGAAUCAAAGUUCCCAUACCUUUAUUGAUAUUUUUCCACGAAAUUGGAGUGAAAAUCUUGGAGCUUGAACCCUAAUCUUGAGCUUCUUCUUUGUUCUUCAAUGGAGUUUAGAGAGAGAAUGUUUUGAGAGGGAAGUGGGUUUGAUUUUGAGUUUGUGAGUUAUGAGAGUUAAAAGACUUGUUUUAAUACUUAAUAAUACUUUAAUAUAACUAUAAAUGACCGUUUUUACCUUUAUUAAGUUAAUUAGUAAAUUACUAACCUACCCCCGCAUGGCUAACUUAAGGCAGCCUUCACAGGCCCCAUCCACGAGUCCCCGACCACGGGGUGUGGUUUGAACCACGGACCGUACUGGUCAUUCAUGGUUUGGGUCUGAGGCUGGCCUUUUUGUCCUUGGUCCAUGACCCAUCCACGACUCCCAUCUACGGGGCGUGGUAUGGUCUACGGACAAUACUGUUCCUACACGGUUUGGAAUAGAUACUAGGGAGUUUAGGGGGGAGUUUUGGUUAGGCUAAGUGUUGACUCACGACUCCCAUCUACGGGGCGUGAGUCAACCUACGACUCGUAGGUUGAGUCUCAUGGUCCAAGCUGUUUUGGACAGCUUUUUGGACCUUCCUCAUGGACCCAUGGGGGGGCCCUAGGGAGAUUCAUGCCUUGAUGUUUAGGCACUAGAAACCUAGUACUAGGUUAGUAAGUUCAUUUUAGGACUUUAACCGUACGUUUAGACUUCAUUAGGCUACUACACUACACGUUAGGCUCUAGCUUAGGUCAUUAGAUAUACGGGGUGUUACAUUAUCUCCCCCUUGGGAACAUUCGUCCCCGAAUGGUGACCAAGACACCAAACUAAGUUAGAAACCUUAGACUAACAGCCCAUUAUGCAUGAAUCAUUAAAAUAUGCAAAACUCACAAAUGCACUAUUCACAACUUGCACCUUUCAAAAGGAGGAAACUUCAAUUCCUUUUUUCACAACAUGGCCAAAGCAAUACAAGAGAGUAGGAACUACUUCUACUAACUCAAUAUGUAAGAAACUCAUUAAUUCACAUAAGCAUGGGAGGAACUAAUUUCUCCAAAUCGAUUAAGCUCAACACAACACUAUAGAGCCAAUGUGUCAUCUCAUCAACACAACAUUAAGCAUGUUCAUCAUUUCAUCUCAUGGGUCAAAAUGCAAUCAUCACACAAAAAUGCAAAUCACCAUGAGAAAACAUAGGCAUCAUGAAAUCUCAAUAUAUAUUAAAACAUGAAUUCUCACAAGAACAUGCACAACAUAGGGAAAUCAUGGGAAAUCAUACAACACACAUGACUUCCAAAACACUAAACUUAAGAGAAACUAGUUACUUCAAGCUUGAAUAGGAGUAGAAGGAAAAAGAUGAGGGUAUCGGGACAUCAUAUCGGCCUCGGCUUCCUAAGUAGCACCCUCAACUAAAUGAUUCCUCCAAAGAACCUUAACGGAAGAUACUUCCUUAUUUCGCAACUUCUUCACUUGCCGGUCUAAAAUCUCAUCUGGGACCUCUUCAUUAGAAAGGUUCUCAUCAACUCCUAAACCUUCUAAAGGAAGGAUGGAAACCGGAUCACCAAUACACUUUUUGAGCAUAGAGACAUGAAACACCGGGUGAAUCGGGGCCAACUCAUUUGGCAAGUCCACCUCAUAAGCAACUUUCCCAAUACGCUUCAAGACUUGGUAUAGGCCCACAUACCGGGGACUAAGUUUCCCCUUCUUGCCAAACCUCAUCACACCUUUCAUAGGUGAGAUUUUCAAGUAGACCCUAUCACCAACCUCAAAUUCAAGAUCUUUUCUUCUAUUGUCGGCAUAGGACUUUUGCCGACUUUGGGCCGUCUUCAACCUCUCUUUAAUGAGUCAAACUUUCUCAAUGGCUUCAUAGACUAGUUCGGGAUCAAUUAGAGCAAACUCACCUACUUCAAACCACCCAACCGGGGAUCUACACCUUCUUCCAUAUCGUGCUUCAAACGGAGCCAUAACAAUGGUGGAGUGGUAACUAUUGUUGUAGGCAAAUUAUAUCAAAGGAAGAUGAUCAUCCCAAUUACCCUUGAAAUCGAUCAUACAUGCCCUCAACAUGUCUUCUAAGGUUUGAAUGGUGCGUUCGGCUUGACCAUCCGUUUGAGAGUGGAAAGCGGUACUAAGUUUAACAUUUGUACCAAGCCCUUGUUGGAAUGCUUUCCAAAAAUGUGAAGUAAAUUGAGCACCUCUAUCCGAUAUGAUAGACAAAGGGGCCCCAUGAAACUUCACUACCUCUUUGAUGUACAAAUUAGCAUAGUCUUCCACCGAAAAAGUAACCUUGACGGGAAUGAAGUGGGUUGUUUUUGUCAUCCUGUCAACAAUGACCCAAAUAGAAUCAUGUUGCUUUCGAGUACGAGGCAAGCCCACAACAAAAUCCAUAUUCACCCCCUCCCACUUCCAAGUUGGAAUAUGCAUAUCUUGGAGCAAACCUCCCGGUUUCAUGUGUUCGACCUUGACUUGUUGACAAUUCGGGCACUUGGACACAAACCCGCUAUAUCCUUCUUCAUACCAUUCCACCAAUAGACUUCCUGUAGGUCAUGGUACAUUUUGGUGGCUCCCAAAUGAAUAGAAUAUCGAGAACCAUGAGCCUCUUCAAGAAUUUUCUCCCUCAAACCAUCAACAUCCGGCACUCAAAAUCUACCUUGGUACCUAAGCACCCCAUCUACCCCUUGGGAGAAAACCUCAAUGGACUUGUUUAGAAAUGAUUCUUUCAAUUCCAUCAAAAUAGGAUCCAGGUGUUGCUUAGACUUCACAUCAACUACAAAGGAUGAUUCGGAACUAUGAUGAACCACAACUCCACCCUUGGUGGAAUCCACUAGUUGGCACCAAACCGGGACAACAUAUUGUCACGACCCGGGGUUACCCCCUAGAAGUAACACGGUGUACUUGACCGCCGAAGGGGUCUCGUACAAGCCCUUAGCAUAAUCAUCACAAAAAGAAAUUGAAUAAUGCGGAAAAAUUUAAACUUUUUCUUUACAAUCGAAGUCAUUUUAUAAAUCAAACUGGAGUCUAGACAUUGUCUCAUUUGACCAUCUAAUACAAUCGAAUAGGGACAAUAGCCCUUACAAUAGUUCUAAAUGGAAAUACUAAAAGAAACUCAAAGUAAACUACUUUUCCUCGAAACUUGAGGACUCACCAACUAAACUUGGGAAACUAACUAAUCCAAGCUUGAACCAAGAAUACCACCACCAAGGACCAAUCCCUACAUUGUAGAAAACAUAGAAAUAUGGGUUAGCACAAAAUGUACUAAGUAUGGUAGCCAUGCAUAAGAACAUUUAAAACAUGCUGCAAUGCAUAGAUAGGAUCCCAUAACCCUAUCUACACUAAGUAUUACUUCUAGGCCACCAUGAUCAUGCAUAACAUACCUUGACCUUAUUCAUAGCCAACAUUCAUAAACAAGGAGACAUUCAUGCUCAUAUCUUAUAAUAAAUAAAGUCACUCAUAGCAACAAUCCAUAUCAUGCAUACAUAAUUCAUAUAUCUUCAUAGCAUAAGGAAACCACAUUAUAAUCCAUUUAUAAUUCUACUUGUGCAAUGUACAAGUAAAGUCCCAUAGCCCCACUCACACAAAUUAAAUCUCAUUAGGAAGUCAUUAGUAUAGUCCAUGUUCAUAUUCAUAAUAAAGCAUACAUUCAUAAUCAUCAUAUCAUAGAAGAGACAUACCAUGCCCACUCUCAAAAUCCAUACUAAGUAGAACUUCUGGAGGAACCAUAGUACCUAACUCAUGUUCUUAUCAUAUAGGGAAAUAUAGCCUUAACCAACAUAGACCAUGUUGAGCUACAUGGAAUCCGGUGUCCUCUAACCCCACACUGAAAGAAGGUGUCCUACUUGCCUAAGGUAGAACUAACAUAUUUAGCUUUUAGGUGGAUCCACUAGAUAAAGACCUAUGUGGGUAGAUAGUUAUGGGAUAUGGAUAUUGCUUCUAGAAAUCCCACAUAUUUCAUUAAUGGGAGAGCUUCCAUAUCAUGAGAUUCCUUUGGAUGACCCGGCCUAUUGCAUCGAUGGGAGGGCCUUCACCUCAUUUUCCAUAUCCACUCGGUGCUAAGCAUUAUUUCCCAAGAUUUACAUAAUUAAUUCUUUAGUUGUUUUUACAUGUUUGAAUGAGUAUCUUACCCUUCAUUCAACACAACUAAUAACAUAGCUCGUAGAUUCAAUUAGGUGAGAAUGUCCUUUCAACCUUAGAGUCAUCAAUAUGUGAGUAAACCUUUCACAUCAUAUUGAUAGUGUGUUAAUGAGAAUAUCCUUUCAUUCAAAACAACCAUACCAUAUAGUCUUAACAUAUCAUACAUAGUCAUAACAUGUCAUACAUAUUCACAACAUCUUGGUCAUGUAUAUUUCAUGCAUAAUAGUAUGUAAUGGUGCAUAUGAGAAUUAGCCUUUCAGUUGACACCAUAGACACAUUAUAAUUUUGUUUAUGCAUGGAGUGUAUGUGUGUGUAAUUGUCCUCACAAUGACACAACAACAACAACAUUAUCAUCAUAGACACUUCCCUCUCAAAGUCUUCAUAACAUGUACAUAAUAUCACAAUCAUGCAUAAUUCACAUCUAUUGCAUUCAAGGAUCAUAGACCAUGUAAAUCAACACAUCUAAAAUUCAUUAUAAUAUAUAUGGAUAUAUUCAUCAUUUAAGUAGUUCAUUCAUGGCAUGUAAAGGAUAACAUACGCAUAUUGAGGUCAUGUGGGUAUUGUCCUUCCACAAUAGUACCAUAUACAAUUCAACAUGCUCAAUAAGUAUACACCUCCACCUUUCAAGUGGAUCAAUAGCUCAUAUACAAUAACUAUUCAACAUGUAAUUACCUACAUGCUUUUCCCUUCAAGUCUUGGGAUCAAGAUCAACCUUAACUUUUAGAAUUACCCCAUUAUAUAAAUGGAUAUCAUAAUUAAACAACAUAAUCAAUGUGAACAUAAUCAAGUUAAUUCAUGUAUUUAAGCCUUCAUAAGAGAUUCAUAUCUAGUGAUCUAGUCUAAGGCCAUUGACCAAGAAGUUCAUCAAUCUUAGAAGAUCACAUUGAAUACCUCAAUUUGCCUCUUUCAUGACAUAACCCUAGGCUAUAUCAAUUUCACCUUGGAACCUUAGGUUAAUCAAUAAUACAAAUAAAAUCAUACUUAGAUCAUGUAAUUACAUCCUAGUUCACUCACAUCAAUUCAAUUGAUCACAACAAGACCAUUUACAUGUUUCUAGAAUGAAUUACCCAGUUAAGGUCGCAAUUUUGCAAUCUAAGGGAUCCAUGGGUUCUUGGGGGAAUGUUUCCAAACUUUAUCCAUAAAUCAUCAAUUCAAUCACCCCUCAACCUAAUCCAACCAUAAAAAUCAUUUUGGAAGAAACCCAUAUCAUUCGACCAAACCCUUGAAAUUGGGGAAAAUUUUGAAGUUUUGAAGUCAAGUUUUGAAGGAACUCUUUGGGGGGAAUAUAUCCAAAGAUGAAAACUACCAUACCUUGCUUAUGAAUCCUUGAAGAAUUGAUUAUUUUGUCCAGCCCAAGCUUCAAUUAUUCUCUUCUACUUCUUGGGUUUCUAAAGAGAGAAUUUUCGGGAGGAAGAUUAACUUUUUGAUUUGAAGUGGGUCUUUUUGAAAGUGAUUUAUUUUUUGGAUAUUUUAGUAUAAAAUCCCUUAUAUAUUCAUUUAGAAAUAAUAUAAAAUAUACCCACUUUCUAAUUUAACUUAAAAAUAAUAUUUACGAAAACGCCCUUGCACAUAUGGACUUAGCCAAAAAAAAACUAAGGAAAUGUUUAAGGAAGCAUUUAAGGUCCUUGAAGUGGUCCACUAGCCUUGGACCCUCCCUUGAACUUUGCCUUUGGAUUUUUAAAGCUAAGGCAUAUCUAUGGGAGUAUUCAAAUGGCAUAUUUCUACCAUAUAUAUAUUUAUUUAAAAAUAAUAUAGACUAUACACAUUUAAUUUGGACUAAAAAAGAAAUUAAGAAAUUACCCCUUUUUAUGCCUCCCUAGGAUUGCCCAAAUAAAACUAAGGCAAUUACCAAGGGAGCUUUUAAGGCCCUUGAAUUGAUGUACCUUCCUUAAACCCUCCCUUGGACUUGUCUUUAGAUUUUUUAAAGCUAAGGGAUAAGUCUACAAGGGAGUACACGGCAGUGGGCCCCCACUUGCACACGUGCACUGCCCAUGUGUUAAGGUAGCCCCCACGUGUGGUGAUCCCUCCACUUGGUCCUUAAACCCUCACGUGGGUUGCCUUACAAAAACUAAGGCAUUGGUUCAAGGAAGCUUCUAAGGGUGGUGAAAGCUUUUACCUUCCUUGAACCCUCUCUUGAAAAUAUACUUCGUCAAAAUUGGCUAAGGCAUUGGUUCAAGGAAGCUUCUAAGGGUGGUGAAAGCUUUUACCUUCCUUGAACCCUCCCUUAAACUUAUACUUAGCCGAAUUUUUGGACCCUUUUAUAUCUCCAAUUUAUACAUAAACUUAUAAGGUUCAUACGUUAGGCUCUAGUUUCACCUAUAAAUUUUUCGGGGGUUACAUUAUCUCCCCAUUGGGAACAUUCGUCCUCGAAUGACGAUUUAGACACCUUACGGAAUUUAAAGACUCAUGAUUAGCAGCCCAACAAGCAUAUAAUAUCAAAAUAAUACGUCACUUAAAGGAGGAAACUUCAACUCCAUUUCAACAUAGUCAAUUUAAACAAACCGAAGUAGGAACUACAUCUAUCAAUCCUAUAUGCAUGAAAUUCUCAUAAUUAGUUAUAUUCAAGGAGGAACUAUCAUCCCCUAGUCAUAACAUGCUCAACAUACUCUCAUGGAGCUCAUAUGCAAAUUCUCAUUUUCAAAUAGCAUUUAUUCAAGGAGGAAUCUCUCAACUCCAAACUAAAGCAUGCUCAUGUAUUCUUCUCAUGAUGUACAAUAGGUAACUCAUAGUCAAUGCACCACAACAUGAGGAAAGCAAUUUACUUAAACUCAUCUUCUUCUAAAAACACAAGUUUUCACAAAUAUGCACAAAACUCAUCAAUUCGCAUAAACAAGGGAGGAACGAUCUUCUCCAACUUAAAACAAGUUUAACACCUCAAUAUGAAGUUAACAUGUCAUAACAUAAAGAACUCUCCUAAGAACGUUUAUCAAUUUUCAUCAUGAAGUCAAGUAUGCAACAUUAUAAUAUAAUAAACAAACUAGGAGAAAAUCUCAACUCCAUCUCAAACGUACUCCAUGCAACACAAGAAAGUAGGAACUACAUCUACAAACCCAUUUUGCAUGAAAACUUCAACAUUUCUCAUUUAUAUUGGAGGAAUUACCUUCUCCAACUCAAAACAUACUAAUCAUAACACCUUGAAGCCAAUUAUGCAAUUACUUCUAAAAAAGCACAUUUAGGCUUUUUCAACCUUUCACCUCAUGAAUCAUAUAGGCAACACUUACUAAAUGCAUAUCAACAUGACGAAAAAAAGUCAUAAAAUCUCAUUUUUUCCCCUUAAACAUGAAUUCUCAAAAGCAUGCAUAUCGUAAGGAGACCAUGUAAACACAUAAAUCACACAUGACUCCCAAAUCAUAAAAUAAGCCCAACUAGGAACUCUUGGUCUCAAGCUAGAAUAGGAAUAGAAGAAAGAGAUGAGGAUAUAGGGAUCCCAAUAAUCAUGCUUUCUAAGCACAUCAUCUCCCCCUUGGGAGGAAAGCCUUUAUUAAAGUCCUCAAGUAACACUUCGUUCAAGCAAUCGCAAAGACAUGACCAAACUCACCUUUGCUAUCUUCGGAAAAGUUAAUGGUUUCAACAACUUGUAAUAUCACCCUCUCAUGACAAAACUAGGUACCAAAUCCUAAAAGGAGAUAUUUGUACUAAAUCGGCAUCUUACUCAAUGGGUGAUAACUAAUGCACAUUUGAAGAGACCCAUAUUAUUUCUAACCACCAAUAUCGGAGAACCCCAUAAAGAGAUACUUCAUUAAUUAUCAAUUCCCUUAGUUGCUCCUUCAACUCUUUUGACCCCUUUGGAACCAUUCUAUAAUGAGAAAAUGGAGAAAAGUUGCAUAUCCGGGCUAAGGUCAAUACCAACUAAGACUCUAUUUCUCUCUUGGGAGGAAUACUGGCAAACCAUCGGGGAAAACUUCUGGAAACUCAUUCACUACCGGCACCGACUCUAGAGGAGGGGUUUUGAAUUCAACAUCUUUCACCCUAGUUAUAGGCUCAUAAGGAAAUUGGGACCUAACCAUCCGGGUCCUAUCAUCAAUAAACAUACCAUGCAUGCAACCCAUCCAUACCAAGAGUUACCUCAAAAACCUAAUAUGUCAAGUUCUACCAAGUCGAUAAGAGUAACUCUAGGGGACAAGGUAAUGGGGAUCUUCCAUAAACCCAUUUUCUAACUUUAAAUCUUUAACCGGGGUAAAAGCCGAAAAAUGUUCUAAUAACUCGUCGGGGGAAACAUUAAACCUCAUAGCCUCAAAAGGCACCAUACAAGAUAAGGUAGUACCGGAAUACCACAUAACACUUACACUUACAUGAAAUUACCAACAUAUCGGUACCUUCAUUCAGAGAGUCUUCUUAGUCACCUCUAGUAGCAUCCUUUACUAAAACCCUUACUAGGACAUCACUCAUAAUCUCAUAUGAGUCUACCAAACUGGGUCUAAAGUCUUCAAACUUACUAUACCUCAUAAGGUGAAAAUUCAAGUCAACCUAAAUCAUGACAUGGAGAACACUCACCAACCUUGUUAUCUAAGGACUUCAUCUCCCCCUUAGGAGCAAGCCUAUAUAACCUCUUCUAAGCAUCACUUCUUUUUAUUCUAAGGUCGGAGCAAGUCAUCACUUAAACCUUCACACUCAUCACCCAAGAUGAUUCCAAACCAAGGUGAAUUCCACGUCUACCCUUCUUAGAUGAGUCUACUCACUUCACACAUCUAGGUAUUUCCAAAAUACCCUAUUCGUCAAAUCUUUCAACAUACUUCAAAUCUCAUUAUAACUUUUUACCAACAUCACCCAUAACCAUAGAGCAAUCAAUCUUUACCAAAGGAUUGCAUCUAAAUCCACCAUAUCAAGUCCUACCUAGUCAUAUUGUCACAAUUGACAUCACCACAAACCUUUUCUCCCUCAAUCUAUGUAGCAUUUACCCUUUUUGAGUAGUCACAUCUUGAAGACCAUCGGAUAAGGGAUAAGAGAGAGAUCUUAUAGAGUUCGGUUCUAUGGCACGAUUCAAGAGUAAUGAAGAAGUGAAAUCCUAAGCAUCUUAUAGCCUCUCAUUCAUCAGUGUGGCGCGCUUUACACCCAUGAACAAGACUCCACUUGACGUGGUCUAUGAGACAUCAACCUUAAAUUAUCCCAAAAUCUUAUGCUCUGAUACCAAGUUUGUCACAACCCGGAGCUACCCCUAGGAGUGACACGGCGUACUUGACCCCGAAGGGGUCUCAUACAAGCCCUUAACAUAUCAUCAUUACAUAAGACAUAGAAUAAUGCGGAAAAAUUAAAACCUUUACAUUAGAAGUUCAACUUCCUUCAUAUAUGUAAAAUAGGAAUCUAGACUUGUCUCAUUACACCAUCUAAACAUAGGAAUAUGAAAGUUGGGACUUAGCCCUUACAUCAAUAGAAAGUCUUAUCAAAGAAAGUACAACAUAGUCUUUAACAAAGAAAGUAAGCUAGAACUAGAAUAAAUAGCAUCUCAUCCUCGGACAUGAGGACUCACCAAAACUUGGAGGUAGCAACCCAAGUUUCUUGAAGAAUGGACUAAAUACAACUCAACAGCCCGAACCUACACUCAUAGGAGAUGUAGAAGAGAAUGGGUUAGUACAAAAGCACUAUAGAAAUAUGGGUUAGCACAAAAUGUACUAAGUAUGGUAGUCAUGCAUAAGAACAUUUAAAACAUGCUUAAAAGGGACAAUUUAUUUGAAACCAUGCUAUAUGCCAUUUUUGAACAUCAUCUUUGAAAUAGUUAGAGAAUGUAGCUCAUAAGACAAACCAUACACACUUCAUCAUAACAUAGAGGAUAUCAUAAUAGUCACAAGUAUAGUCACCAACACAACAUAAUGCAUACUCCAAUCUUCACAAGACGUAGUUCACAUAUAUGAUUCAAUGCCAAGAUCAUAUCAUCAUAAUAAAGCCAUCACAUAAGUAACCUUGAGCUCUACUUGUGCAAUGCAUAUAUAUGAUCCCAUAAUCCUAUCUACACUAAGUAUUACUUCUAGGCCACCAUGAUCAUGCAUAACAUAACUUGACCUUAUUCAUAGCCAACAUUCAUAAACAAGGAGACAUUCAUGCUCAUUUCUUAUAAUAAGUAAAGUCACUCAUAGCAACAAUCCAUAUCAUGCAUGCAUAAUUCAUAUAUCUUCAUAGUAUAAGGAAACAACACUAUAACCCCUUUAUAAUUCUACUUGUGCAAUGUACAAGUGAAGUCCCAUACCCCUACUCACACUAAGUAAAGCUCAUUAAGAAAUCAUUAGUGUAGUCCAUGUUCAUAUUCAUAAUAAAGCAUAUAUUCAUAAUCAUCAUAUCAUAGGAGAGACAUACCUUGCCCACUCUCAAAAUCUACUUGUGCAAUGCAUGAAUAAAGUCCCAUACCCCCAUACAUACUAAGUAGAACUUCUGGAGGAACCACAGUACCUAACUCAUGUUCUCUUCAUAAUUCAUAUUCUUAUCAUAUAGGGAAAUAUAGCCUUAACUGACAUAGACCAUGUUGAGCUACAUGGAAUCCGGUGUCGCAUAACCCUACACCGAAAGAAGGCCUCCUACUUGCCUAAGGUAGAACUAACAUAUUUAGCUUUUAGGUGGAUCCACUAGCUAAAUACUUAUGUGGGCACAUAGUUAUGGGAUAGGGAGAUUUCUUCUAGAAACCCCGCCUAUUUCAUUAACGGGAGAGCUUCCAUCUCAUGAGAUUCCUUUGGAUGACCCGGCCUAUCACAUUGACGGGAGGGCCUUUACCUUAUUUUCCAUAUCCACUCGGUGCUAAGCAUUAUUUCCCAAGAUUUACAUAAUUAAUUUUUUAGUUGUGUUUACAUGUUUGAAGGAAUAUCUUACCCUUCAUUCAACACAACUCAUAACAUAGCUCAUAGAUUCAAUUAGGUGAGAAUGUCCUUUCAACCUUAGAAUUAUCAAUAUGUGAGUAAACCUUUCACAUCCUAUUCAUAGUGUAUUAAUGAGAAUAGCCUUUCAUUCAACACAACCAUACCAUAUAGUCUUAACAUAUCAUACAUAGUCAUAACAUGUCAUACAUAUUAAUAACAUCAUGGUCAUGUAUAUUUCAUGCAUAAUAGUAUGUAAAGGUACUUAUGAGAAUUAGCGUUUCAGUUUACACCAUAGACACAUCAUAAUUUUGUUUAUGCAUGGAGUGUAUGUGUGUGUGUAAUUGUCCUCACAAUGACACAACACCAACAUUAUCAUCAUAGACACUUCCUUCUCAAAGUGUUCAUAAUAUGUACAUAAUAUCACAAUCGUGCAUAAUUCACAUAUAUUGCAUUCAAGGAUCAUAGACCAUGUAAAUCAAUACAUCUAAAUCACAUUAUAAUAGACAUGGAUAUAUUCAUCAUUCAAGUAGUUCAUUCAUGGCAUGUAUAGGAUCACAUACUCAUAUUGAAGGUCAUGUGGGUAGAGUCCUUCCACAAUAGUACCAUAUACAAUUCAACAUGCUCAAUAAGUAAACACCUCCACCUUUCAUAUCUAGGUGAUCUAGUCUAAGGCCAUUGACCAAGAAGUUCAUCAAUCUUAGAAGAUCACAUCUAACAUUACUAGAAAUUAGACCUACGACAACGAUACCUAUGGCAACAGUUGUCGAUCGGUUGCCAUAGAACUGAUAUAGCAAUGGUUCCAUGUGUUGCAUAAGGUCCAUGACUCUAUUUACACAUUGUAUCUAUCAUACCGUUGCAAUAACAUUGGAACCAUCGCCAUAGAUUGGUGUAGUGCAACAAAUUUCGACAACCGUUGCAGUAGAUUGGUAUUGAUAACUGUUUGUAUUUCUAUUGCUAUGGUUGUUAUUUCCCUCUUUAUUUUCCCCCAAAUUUCACUAUACCGCCGAAACGGAUCUACAAAAAUUUUCUAGAAGUUAUAAUUUUUUCUUCUCCCAAAAUAAUAAAACACACAGUAAGAAAAACCAUCAUCUAAAACUAAAUUGCAGGUCUCAAAAUCAUUAAGAACUCGCAGGACUCAAAAUCGCUGGGCAGAAUCGUCUUUCGUUCAGCAAAGAGACCUUCAGUUUACUGCUCCAAGUCGUCGUUGUCGCUGAUUUUCACUGUUCCAAUCUCUUCUUCAGUUCACUGUGACUUUCACUACUCUAAGCCCUAAAAUAUUUGGUGUGUGUUUAUUCUGAAAUAGCUUUAAUAGCUAGCAGCCACAUCAAAUUGAAUUCAUAAUACUUAAGGAACAUCUCAUUGUGGCACUACAUGCUAACAGAAACAUAAUGCAACAUUCGUACCAAAAUGAAUAUUAAUCAUCUUGAUCCAGGUAUAAUACUUGAUGCUAACAUGCUAAGAUUUCAUGCUCGUUUGCCCGGAGAUGUGGUUGCUUUACUAAUCAAUCGUCUGUCUGUUGUAGUAACAAUCAAGGUCAAUACUUUUCUCUUCUUCCUCCUCCUCUUCUUCUUAUUCUUCUCUCUCUGUUCAUUUUUUUUCUUAUACUCAAUUUCAAGCAACUGAGUGAUUAUAAUUCGAGUCCGUGUAUAGAAAGUUUAAAUCUAUAUACAAACACAUACUCUUCUAUAAAACUAACCACACCAUAUUCAAAUAAUAAUAAUAUGCUACUGAAAGGAGGUAGUGCUCAACAACAACCUCCUAAUCAUUAUUAUCCAUUUAGCUACCUGUAUGGAAUUGGCAACAGUCCUUACUACAUGAUGAACACUAGUAAUAACACAGUGGUAAAUUCAAACCUUUACAAAUAUGGGAUAAGACGGGCUAUUCCCCGAGGUUUUUCUAGUCAUGUUGUGGAGUCAAGGGUUUUCGAUUCAGUGCCAAUUGUUGUCAAGUGGCACAAAAGCGGUUCAGGAUGUUGAGUAAAUAUUAUCUCUAUUAUCUUGUGUUUGCACUUCAUUUGUAUUUUCUUGUACAAUGUCAGUAUUAUCUUGUGUUUGCACUCCAUUUGUAUUUGCUUGCACAUUGUCAAUGGUUGUGGGACUUGUUGUUUAGAACAUUCUUCAUUCCUCGCCCUCCAUAAGUGGUAUAUAAUUGUCGUUGUGAUUAUCCAUAGAAAUGUUUUGCUAAUAGUGUAUUUUCAAUGAUCAGCCCCAUUAUCUUCAUCCAGUUCCUGCUACACAUGUGUUUAUGAUCACAUAUAGACACAUAUUGCCUCUUAAGAAAGUCGUAGGUAUACUCUCUUAAUUUCCUAAGGCUUUCGAUUGUCAUUGUUGUUACUGUCUAGGUGACCAUAGUGGUAAUAUCAUGGACUUCAUUUUGUCUUGCUUCAUCUUAUUUCUAUCAAUAUUUCAUGUCUUUUUGGUCAUUUACACUUAUGUGCUAUUGAAUUUUUUGGCUUAAAUGAUCUGUUUGUGAAGAGAUGGGACUGAGAUAAUGUUUUUGUAUAUAUAUAUGAGUAUAUAUAUUUAUAUAUGGUGCUCGAGAUAAAGUUGUCGGUCGUAGAUGCUUGAUUUCAACAUCUCCUUCCCCUGCAUUUGUUUUUUUAUACUAAGCAGUUACAAGUACGUAGCACUAUACACAUUAUAAACAUCUUCUUCCCUUCAAAACAGAGAAUUUAAGUUCAAAUUACCAAUAAUAAUAAAGAAACCACAACUUUCCCUGCUGAUGAACUCUAUUACAGCAGCAAACUUCUUCCCAUUCUCAAAAAAUUACCUCAAACGCCCUUUGAAGAAGAAAAUAGAUUUUUGCAUACUUUUCUUUUCUUUUCUUUUUACAGACAUUGCAUCAAUAGAUAUGUAUAAUGUUAUGUGUGUGGUAGUUAGUCCAAACACACCCAAAAUUAUUUUAGAAAUAUAUUGUUUAGGUUUUAUUAUUGUGGAGAUAGAUGGGCAAAAAAUGUUAGAAAUUUGAAUGAGUCAUUGAAAACAACAUUGGUAUGUCAUUGCAAACAACAAUAGUACGUCUUUUGAAUAUUAUAUCUAUGCUAGAUUUCUCUUAUUUAUUCAAAGGACAUUAAACUUUUCUUACUUGUUAUCAAAAUGAUAUAUUGGUGCAUUGUAUGACAUCAUUUAUGCCCUUUUGUAGGUGUUAAAAAUGAAGAAAGGAGAGAAGAUGACAGUGAUGAUGAUCUUGACCUAACUUGAGAAGAUUUUUGAAUUGUUGAUAGAUGUUCUAAUAUUCGUUUUGCUAUCGAACAUUUUGAUACUUUUGAAACUCUUGGAUCUUGUAAAACUUAACUAAUCAGUUGAGUUUGAAAUUUUUAUUUUAGGGUAUAUAUUACUAGUGGAUCCUAGCUAGGUUGUAGAAUAUUAUAAAUUAUCAUAUAUGUAAAUAUUGUUUUACAACUACAUGGAAUUGCUAUUUUGUUUGGACCAUUAUAAUAUGUUACUAGAACAGUUGCAGUAGGUAAAGAGAACUGUUGCAAUAGGUAACAUAAGUGUUGCAAUAAGCCAUAUAAACGUUGCAAUAGGUCACUUAAAUCAUUAACUUAUUAAUAGAAAAAUAAUUGUUGCAAUAAAGGUCUAUGACGACGGUUAGGAACCGCUGCAUAAACCAGAUACCUCCGUUGCACCACAGAAAUUAAUAACCGUUGCUACAGGGGAAUGCUAUGGCGACGACCAUUGUGAACCGUCACAUGAAUCGUUGCAUAAACCCUAUGGCCACGCAAGCUGAUGUAACGCAUUAUAAACCGUUGGGAUAGCUCUAUGACAAUGGUUUACAUACCUAUUGCAACGGUUUUCUUUAUGUUGCAAUAGGCCUAUUUUGUUGUAGUGCCCCUCAAUUUGCCUCUUUCAUGACAUAACCCUAGGCUAUAUCAAUUUCACCUUGGAACCUUAGGUUAAUCAUUAAUACAAAAAAAAUCAUAUUUAGAUCAUGUAAUUACAUCCUAAUCCACUCACAUCAAUUCAAUUGAUCACAACAAGACCCAUUUACAUGUUUCUAGAAUGAAUUACCCAUACUGGGUCACAAUUUUGCAAUAUAGGGGAUCCAUGGGUUCUUGGGGGAAUGUUUCCAAAACUCAUCCAUAAAUCAUCAAUUAAAUCACCCCUCAACCCUAUCUAACCAUAAAAAUCGCUUUUGGAAGAAACCCACAUCAUUCGACCAAACCCUUGAAAUUGGGGGAAAUUUAGAAGUUUUGAAGGAGCUCUUUGGGGGGGAUCUACCCAAAGAUGAAAACUACCAUACCUUGCUUAUGAAUCCUUGAAGAAUUGAUGAAAACCACUUGAUUUUGUCCAGCCCAAGCUUCAAUUUUUCUCUUCUUCUUCUUGGGUUUCUAGAGAGAGAAUUUUUGGGAGGAAGAUGAACUUUUUGAUUUGAAGUGGGUCUUUUUGAAAGUGAUUUAUUUUUGGGAUCUUUUAAUAUGAAAUCCCUUAUAUUCAUUUAGAAAUAAUAUAAAAUAUAUCCACUUUCUAAUUUAACUUAAAAAUAAUAUUUACGAAAACUCCCUUGCACAUAUGGACUUAGCCAUAAAAACUAAGGAAAUGUUUAAGGAAGCAUGUAAGGUCCUUGAAGUGGUCCACUAGCCUUGGACCCUCCCUUGGACUUUGCCUUUGGUUUUUUAAAGCUAAUACAUAUUCAUGGGAGUAUUCAAAUGGCAUAUUUAUACCAUAUAUAUAUAUAUAUAUUUAUUUAAAAAUAAUAUAGACUAUACCCAUUUAAUUUGGACUAAAAAAGAAAUUAAGAAAUUACCCCUUUUUAUGCCUCCCUUCGAUUGCCCAAAUAAAACUAAGGCAAUUACCAAGGGAGCUUUUAAGGCCCUUGAAUUGAUGUACCUUCCUUAAACCCUCCCUUAGACUUGCCUUUAGCUUUUUUAAAGCUAAGGCAUAAGUCUACAAGGGAGUACACGACAGUGGGCCUCCAUUUGCACACGUGCACUGCCCAUGUGUUAAGGCAGCCCCCACACGUGGUGGUCCCCCCACUUGUUCCUUAAACCCUCACAUGGGUUGCCUUAAAAAAAAACUAAGGCAUUGGUUCAAGGAAGCUUCUAAGGGUGGUGAAGGAUUUUACCUUCCUUGAAUCCUCUCUUGAAAAUAUACUUAGUCAAAAUUGGCUAAGGCAUUGGUUCAAGGAAGCUUCUAAGGAAGGUGAAUCCUUUCGCCUUCCUUGAAUGCUUCCUUAAACUUAGACUUAGCCAAAUUUUUGGACCCUUUUAUAUCUCCAAUUUAUACAUAAACUUAUAAGGUUCAUACGUUAGGCUCUAGUUUCACCUAUCAAUUUUCCGGGUGUUACACCUAUGCACAUCACAACCAAUUCCUUCUUCUCAUCUUCUACAUGAGCAACACUACCCAUAGACAAUUUACUCAAGGCAUCCGCAACCAUAUUAACUUUUCCGGGGUGGUAUAGGACACUCAUGUCGUAAUCCUUCAAAAGUUCCAACCACCUUCUUUGUUGGAGAUUCAAAUCUUUUUGGCUAAACACAUAUUGAAGACUCUUGUGGUCGGUAAACACAUCUACAUGUACCCCAUAGAGAUAGUGUCUCCAUAUUUUCAAGGCAAAAACCACCUCCACUAGUUCUAGGUCAUGGGUCAGGUAAUUCUUUUCAUGAAUUUUGAGUUGCCUUGAAGCAUAGGCGAUUACCUUACCAUGUUGAAUUAGAACACACCUGAACCCUACUCUCGAAGCUUCACAAUAUACUACAAACCCGUCGGUACCCUCCGGUAAGGUCAACACCGGAGCGGAGGUAAGCCUAUCUUUUAAUUCUUGGAAGCUCUUCUCACAAGCCUCCGACCACUCAAAUUUGGCUUUCUUUUGAGUUAAGGUUGUCAAUGGAAAUGCAAUAGUGGAAAAACUCUCUACAAAUCUCCGGUAAUAUCCGGCCAAACCCAAAAAGCUUUGGAUAUCGUUAGGAGAUAAAGGUCUAGGCCAACUCUUGACCACAUCCCUCUUCUUAGGAUCAAUCUCUAUACCCUUGUCUGACAUAAUAUGACCAAGCAAUGCAACCGACCUUAGCCAAAACUCACACUUACUAAACUUAGCAAAUAAUUGGUGGUCGUUAAGGACUUGCAAUACUAUCCUCAAAUGCUUCAUAUGAUCACCCUCACUCCUUGAAUAGAUCAAAAUAUCGUCAAUAAAGACAAUUACAAACGAAUCAAGAUAUUACCUAAAUACCCUAUUUAUUAGGUCCAUGAAUGUCGUCGGGGUAUUUGUUAGACCAAAAGACAUGACUAGGAAUUCGUAGUGGCCAUAUAUAGUACGAAAGGCCAUCUUAGGAAUGCCUAUCUCUCUCACCCUAAGUUGGUGGUAACCCAACCUUAAGUCAAUCUUUGAAAAGUAACUCGCCCCUUAGAGUUGGUCAAACAAAUCGUCAAUCCUAGGGAGAGGGUACUUAUUCUUUAUAGUGACCUUGUUCAAUUGGCAGUAAUCAAUACACAUCCUAAGGGACCCAUCUUUCUUUUUCACAAAUAAUACCAGAGUACUCCAUGGAGAUACGCUUGGUUGAAUGAAACCCUUGUCUAGCAAAUCUUUGAGGUGUGCCUUCAAUUCCUUUAAUUCGGCCGAAGCCAUCUGGUAAGGGGGAAUUGAUAUGGGUUGAGUAUCCAACAAAAGAUCAAUGCUGAAGUCUAUUUCCUGUUCGGAAGGAAUUCCAGGCAAGUCAUCGGGAAAGACUUCUGAAAACUCCCUCACUACGGAGACCGACUCUAAUGGAGGAGUCUCAAACUCAAUGUCUAUGACCCUAACAAUAUGAUGGGUCAAGAAGAUUGCUUCUAGAAACCCUAACAUACUAACCGUAGGGGUUUCCAUCUUAUUAGACAACACAUACCCUGGGUAAUCCGGACUUGCUAAACGUGAGGAAACCCAUGUGGGUAGCCGGACUUACUAAACGUGAGACCCCACCUUAUUUGCAUGCCCUUUCAGUGCUAAGCAUCUAAUUCCCUUUUGUAAUCAUCUUUAGUCAACACAUAAGCUCACAUUAGCCUUUACUAGACUCUUAUGUAGACAUCUUACCAUAAUAGCUCAUAUGUGUUCAUAAGUGCAUAACAAUCCUUUCACCUUAGAAACACUUAGCAAGUGAGUAAACCUUUCACUUUACAUUACACUAUAAUCAUGAGGACUACCUUUUAAUCAUAUAGCAAUCAUACCAUAACAUACAUACAUACAUACUUCAUAGCUAAUUCAAGUGUAGAGGGUUAAGGAUGAGGGAAACCUAGGUCAUCAACACCACAACAACACAUUAGGUAUAUCAUCAUUACAAUCUAAGUAAUUCACCUUUCAUACUUGAGUUCAAAGAAGAACCAACCUUCAUACCUUCUUGCCCUUCAUGGGACAUUCAUACUUCAAUUACCCAUCAAUUCAUAAUAAAUACAUAAUAUAAGGUAAUUCAUGAAUUAAUAACAUAAUCAACAUCAAUAUAAGCAAUUGACAUAUUCCCUUCAUAGCCUUCAAGGCUUCAUUCAAAGACUCAACCCUAAUUUCAUAGAAAGUAUACAUAACCUAGGGUAGAAUCAUCAUACAAACAUGAAUUACAUAACAUCACAUUCAAUUCAUAGCCUUCAAUCAAUAUCCAACACAANNNNNNNNNNNNNNNNNNNNNNNNNNNNNNNNNNNNNNNNNNNNNNNNNNNNNNNNNNNNNNNNNNNNNNNNNNNNNNNNNNNNNNNNNNNNNNNNNNNNNNNNNNNNNNNNNNNNNNNNNNNNNNNNNNNNNNNNNNNNNNNNNNNNNNNNNNNNNNNNNNNNNNNNNNNNNNNNNNNNNNNNNNNUGAAAUCUACAAUUUGGGGGAUUUUGAAAACCAUCUUUGGAAGGACCUCUUGGGGAAAGGGAUCCCAAGAGUGAAGAGCAACCAAACCUUAGUUAAACCCUAUGAAUCUUGUGUGAAACCUCCCAUCUAUGUGCUCUUGUUAAGCUCCUUCCAAGUUCUUCAAUGGAGUCUUGAGUUGAGAGAGUUUUGAGAGAGAGAAUUUUGGGAGGGAAAAGAAUUGGGUUAGAUUUGGGUCUUUAAAUUAUAAUGGGUUAAUGACUUAGUUUAGGGUCUUAUUAACUAUUUAUAGGAGGUUAUUUAACCACUUAACCGACCCCCUAAGCCCUUAAUUAAUCAACUAACUUAAUUCUCAAAACCCCAACUUAAAGCUAAAAGUCACAAAACUGGCAGCAUCUACAGACCCCAACCUACGGACCGUCGUUUGAUCUACCAUCCAUAGUUUGGGUCCGUCGAUUGGACCUGGGACUGACAGUGCUUCAUUAUUUUGACCAUAACUUUUUACUUCGAGAUCGGAAUUGGGAAAACUCGGUGGAUUUGGAAAGAGGACUCAGAGACCUUCCAUUGGAUAGGUAGUGGACCACCUAAUUCGUUUUGAGUUAUUAGAUAUGACCAUUUAAAGUUGACUCUCACUCCUAACUUAAAACUAAAAACUAUUUUUAAGGGACUGUUUUAAGGGUCUUGGUUCUAAAUGAAUUCAUUACUUAGCUUAAGAUAUUGCUAGCUUAUAAACGUACUAAUCAACUAGCUAAAAAACCCCUUAAGCCUAUCAAUUAACUAACUUAAUCCCUAAUCACCAACUUAAGACUAGAAGGCUGGAAAUUGGAAGCACUUACGGCCACCCACCUACAGACCGUAGGUGGGGUUACCGCCCGUGCUGUGUCGUCGUUUGGUUCAGAGGCUCCCUUUUUGGGAGCCAAGCCUCCCAAGACUAAGUCCCCACCUACGACCUAGACCUACGGUCCGUAGAUCAGUCUACUGGCCAUAGAUGGGUCUCAUAGGUCCUGCUAUCUUUUUACAGUUGACAGCUUUUGGCGAAAGGUUGGGUCCUCCUCAAGGACCCCUUGGGUGGUCCUUGGGGGGUCGUACCCAUUUGUUUGGACCCUAAACAUGUCCAUCUAUGAAUAAGACUUAUUCCUAUGGGUUUUAGACCUCAAACAACACACCAAACACCACGACAAGACACUAGCACCCACACUAGCACCAAAGACUAGUUUCCGGACGUCAUCGUCAUUUCUUGACGUUUGACCUCUAAAGUCACCAAACUAACUUCAAUGACCAUUUUUCAUCAUUUAAACAUGUUUCCAACCAUAAGCUAACAUGUGAGGCUCUAGGUCAACCUACUAGAUUCAGUGAAGCCUUAGCUAGGUCUUACUAGUUUCGUACUGGGCGUUACAAUAUCCCCUCCUUGGGAACAUUCGUCCCCGAAUGACACUCAAACAUCUUAAGGAGUCAAAACUCAAACUAGCAGCCCAACAAUCAUGUAAUCAUCAAAGUCAUGUACAACUCAAAAAUACACCACACACAACGAGCAUCAUUCAAAGGAGGAACUUGAACUCCAAUUUUAACAUAGUCAAUGCAAAUAUAAGGANNNNNNNNNNNNNNNNNNNNNNNNNNNNNNNNNNNNNNNNNNNNNNNNNNNNNNNNNNNNNNNNNNNNNNNNNNNNNNNNNNNNNNNNNNNNNNNNNNNNCGUUUGACCUCUAAAGUCACCAAACUAACUUCAAUAGUCAUUUUUCAUAAUUUAAACAUGGUUCCAACCAUAAACUAACAUGUGAGGCUCUAGGUCAACCUACUAGAUUCAGUCAAGCCUUAGCUAGGUCUUACUAGUUUCGUACUUCUCCACAAUUGUAACACACGUAAUAACUUAACCAAGUAGGCAUCCCUGCUAUUGUAGUAAUCGUAUCAUGACCCUCUUUGAUAUACACUUAAUCUAUGAAAUUAUAUUAGAGAUUCUACACUCAAUUGGAUCAACGUAAUUUCAUCAUUCUCUAAGUAACCCAUACAAUUUUUGACAACUUUACUAACUAUAUUUUCCAAAGUAAUGGUGUUCAUGAUCUAGCCGACUCUUACGAAAUUUCUUGAAUGUUGUCACCUUGGAAAAGUCAUCUGGCUUCACCCCCUUUACCUCCAUCGCAAAAUCAAACACUUCCCAAAAAUAUUUUGCUAAAGCAACAACCUAUAAAGAUUGAAUAUGCAAAUCUAACCUCAAUCCCUUCACAAAGCAGUGAAUCCGCUCUUCAGGACUAAAGCAAAUAUGAGUAGUAUAUCUGGAUAAAGAACGAAAUAUGACCUCAUUAGCUGUAACAGAUAUCUCCCAUUGAUGUAUAUUUAGGAACUCAUCUCUGUUGCUAUCCCUCAAUAUCUUGGGUAUAUACUUCUCCAUAGAAGCUAAAAAAUGUUGACCAAGUUAUAGGUAGUGCCUUUAAUGGUCAGCAUUCAACAUGAGACUGCCACCACUUAUUAGCGUCUCCCAGAAAUUGGUGUGUCACAACUUAACCCAAACCUCUCCACUAUAUUCAUCUUAUGAAGCUACUAAUGACAAUCAAGAAGAAAAUCAUAAAGAUCUUCAUAUUCAGUACCUAUAAAGAAUUGGGGUUUCAAAUUUAAGAACUUAAUAAAAAGAUCAUGUUGGUCUCUGGUUAUUACAUGCCAUGUGGUCAAUAGGGAAACAUGUCUAUUUCCAAAGACGCAUCCUCUCUUAUCAGUGUUGGUGUUGCCAUUUCUGUUGCUUUAGUUCUGACCAUAUGAGGAAUAGAGUCAAUGAGGUUAGAUACCAAUUUUCAUCACCUAGAUACCAAUUGAAUUAAGGUAAUCGCACGGAAGAAGGAAAUAAUAGAAUUUUCCUAAAAUCCUAUAGCCUCUAGAAGAAAAGUAAAGGUGUCCCCAUACUGUUCAAAAGACUCUACUAAACAUGUCCUUGUGUGAUGAGAUCAUCAAACCUAAUGCGAUACCAAGUUUGUCACAAUCUAAAACGAGUCAUGAGUGACACCUACACUUAACCUCCUAGGUGGGAAAAUCGAGGAAUUCAACCACAACUUAUAUUUAUUGUUCAACUUACAAAAUACAAACCAUAAUACGGAAGCUCAAAUCUUAUUAAUGUAAGAAACACAAAUCCACUAAAGUCUAUCAACUAUCGUUUCUCAAAACCUGAAAGUCAUCACAUCAAGGACAUCUAAUCCCCAAAUACUAAGUCUACGAGUAUCAAAGACACCAAAAUAAAUAAAGACAAUUUGUGUUCGAAAACUAAGGACAUCAUGCCAUGAUUGACAGAAUCCAAUACGAGCUAGAUAGAAUAACUCACCCUAGAACAUGAUGUGCUUGAGACUAGCUAGAGCUGAGGGUGAAUCGAAGUUGUUGGUACACUUGCUACUCUCCACGAAAGGAAAAUGAAGAAAAAUACAAGUAGGGGUCAGUACGAGGAAAUAAUAAUGAGUAGAUAUCAUCGGCUGACCCAAAAUAGAAACUAAUAUGCAUAAAGUAAUAACAUGAAAUCAAUUAUAGCACUUGGCUAGUGGCAAACAACCAACAACAGGAAAAAAUGACAACAGGAGUGAAGCAAGUAUGUAAUUUGUCAACAAUAUAAAAAAUACACGUGAACACAGGCCUCCAUACCACGCUCUUUUGAGAAAUGGGUUCUUCAAGAUUGAGUACAUUAAGUUAUUUUAAUAUGUUUUUCUUUAAUUUUAUUAUGUUGAAACGUGUCACCCGAUCCAAUAAUAUCGUGUCGGCUCAUGACACCCAAUUCAAAUAUAUCGUGCCGGCUCGUGUCACCCGAUCCAAAUUAUCAUUCGGGAAUGUGACACUCGAUCAAAUUAUACCGGGUCAAAAUGGACACUGGAUCCAAAUAUAUCAUCCUAGCUCGUGGCACGUGAUUCAAAUAUAUCAUGCCAGAACGUGACACCCGAUUCGAUAGUAUCAUGUCGGCUCGUGGCACCCAAUCCAACAACAUAGUUAAUUUCUCAUUCUUUAUCAUCACUUUCCAAUUCAUUAAAAAUAUUUCAUCAAGUCUUGUUUAUUCAAAGCAUCACUUUAAUAGAACAAGUUCAAGCUUAUGAAUUUUGUGGUCUUGGGAUUACAAACCAAUCACAACAACACAUGAAUUAUUCAAACCACAACAAACAAGUACGUAGAAAAUUUCACAAUAACACAGAAUGACUAUUAAUUGCUAUUGAGAGUCUCUCUAUCACAUGGAAUAAACCAUAACCUACCUCCACCGAAAAACUGAAGUCGAGCAAGUUAAUUCCCCAAUGCUUUUUCCUUCCUCAAUGCCUCAGAACAUUUUCAAUCUAUCAAGUAUACUAUAGUCAUAAGUUAAUGAGUCUAUAGAUACCCAUAUUAUAAUAUGUCUAGCCUACACCAAAAAACUCACCCAAAUCUACAAUCAAGUUUCAACCGUGAUCUCAAUUAAUAGGUCAAAGACCUAUAUUUCUUAAAUUCAAGCCUAGAGUUAAGUCUUAAUUCCUUCAAAUAAUUUAACUCUAAUAAAAUUCAUAUAAAAUAGUUAUGUACUAAAAAGUGACAAUCCCUACUAACUUAUUUUAAUAAUAUGGGCUAAGUGAUAUAAGAUAUUAAAUAAAUUAUAGACAUGACUCAGUAACCACCAACUAAAUGAUCAUAGUUAGAUAGAUAGUUAAAAAAAUCUCAUUUAAAAUUUACGGAAAAAGUCGAAAUAGUUCUAGUAUUAGUACAACAACAUAACAAUGAAUGUUUUCACAAUGAUAUCAAUACUUGAGUUUUUAAAUUAAGUUAAUUUAUUACCUGGUUAUGGCUGACAUAAUACUGAUAAAAAAAUACUAUAAAAAAUCAAGAUAGGAGUGACCAAUGACAAUAUUAUAAUUUUAACAUUAUUUAAGGGUAAAGUUGUAAUUUUAUAAUUAGUGGUCAAAAGAAAUUUCUAGAAGAAUCCAAUUUUUUUAAGACCAACAAAAAUCUUUGUUCCAUGUGUGGCCCCACAAACUCAUUGUUUUUGUUUGAAAUCAGUUUGUAUUUGUUUGAUUAUGAUAAUAUUUUGAAAAAUAUUCAUACCAUUCAUACUUUAAAAAUGUAAUCCUCCAUCAAAUUUAAACAAUAUAAAUCCCCCCCCCCCCCCCCCCCCCCCCCCCCCUCCCCCCCCUUUUUUUNNNNNNNNNNNNNNNNNNNNNNNNNNNNNNNNNNNNNNNNNNNNNNNNNNNNNNNNNNNNNNNNNNNNNNNNNNNNNNNNNNNNNNNNNNNNNNNNNNNNNNNNNNNNNNNNNNNNNNNNNNNNNNNNNNNNNNNNNNNNNNNNNNNNNNNNNNNNNNNNNNNNNNNNNNNNNNNNNNNNNNNNNNNNNNNNNNNNNNNNNNNNNNNNNNNNNNNNNNNNNNNNNNNNNNNNNNNNNAAAAUUAAAAAAAGAAAACCCCCCCCCCCCCCCUCCCCCCAUCGUAUUCAAUGUAUUUUUUUACUCUUGACAAAUGAAAUUGUUCAUCUAUGCAUUACUACUACAGUAUAUUCAAUAUAAACCUACAACAUAUAAUAUUUUUUUAACAUAAGUAUUACUUAAAUUAUAUUUAACUUUUCUUAAUAUAAGUAUAAUAAUCCUUUUUAUGAAUUUGCCACAUAAUUUUAUAUUAUUUUAUAUAAUUUAGAUUUUAAUAUUGCAUGCAUUAAUAUGUGUGUAUGUAUAUUUGGAUUUAUGUCUAACUUCUUUAUAUUUUAAAAAUAUAAAAAUCUAAUCCUAAGAGAACUUAAUGAAAUGGAGUCAAAUGGUAUACUUCCAGCAGAUUAUUGAAGUCAACAUACAUAAUCUUAUAUUCUCAACAAAUGGAUACGAAAUAAAGCACUAGAAGGCAUGGAUUAGUCUUUACUUAGGACAUAAUAUCAUAUUGAAACACAUAAUCUAGAGGUAGAAUACGAGUGCACAUUUUAAUUAAGAUAAGAAGCAGAUCAAUAGCAAAAUAACUAAUCUUCAUACAAGCCAUAUGACUUACUACAGUAAGAGAAGAAACCAUGCUUGCAGGAAGAAAAAAAAAGAGCAGUAACUAAUCACAGACAAAGAAUUCAAGUUUGGGACGACAAAAGACAACCAAAAGCUCUUUCACAUCUUAAAACCAAAAUAGUAGCUAGAUACUAGACAAUACAGAGAAAAUCUGCUUUUGAUCUAAUGGAUCCUAAUAUAUAACUAAUGCACAAUAAAAGGUACCUAAACAGCCAAACCCGGAGAUAUACCUAACAUGAAAUUAAAACAGAGAUGCGCACAUCAAGGAGUUGGAACUCAAACAGAUAAACCUUUGAAACAAUGAUCACGACCUAUCACGAACAUGACAAGAAACGGAAAAGCGAACAAGAAUAGAUGCUAAACAUUUAGGAAGUCUAACAUAAAAGAAAACCAUAAACAAAGGGGAAGAAUGGAGGUAUUACCUUCUUAGGAUCAGCUUUUGGAACGAACGAGUUGAGACGAGUUUUCGCCACCACCAACGAGUUCAAACGAAAGCUUUCGAUGGAAAAGAACAGAAAGCGAAAACCAGACCCUAAGACUCGAAAUUCUUAAAUUAUAACUAUAGAAAUGGAAUCUCUUUUGAUGAAUAUACUACUGUGUUUCUUUCUUCUCGUCUCCCAAUUUCCAACCUCUAUUUUGUCAACCCCUAACACUGAAAUUAACGAGGGAUAUAUGUAGAGGGCAAUAGGGUAGAUAACGGGGAAAUUUCUAUUAAGGAAAGGAUGAUUUCAAAAUUUGAAAUUAAAAUUUUAUUUAAGAGAUAGGGUCGGCCAGCUCGAUUGGGUACAAAAUCUCCAACGGAUUGAAGAGGAGGUCCGUUCGAUCUUCACAGAAGGACAAUCUCGCAAGGAGAUGCCUCCACCUUCACGAUUCUUGAAGUUUCUUCUACGAAUGAAUAAGGAAUAAAGGAAAAUGGACAAGCGAUUUGGAGGCUCGCUAGGCUGACUCGCGAUUUGGGUCGCGUUUUCAGGGUGUCUGCUCGUUGGUGGCUUUGUUCACUAGAUUUGCAGCGUUUGGUCGCUAUUCUUG